UAAACAUCUGACUUGAGAAAUUCUAAAACUUUCUUCAGCUUAUGCAGCACUUUCUUCUUCUUGUUGUCCCAUUUUGUAAGCUUCUUGUUGUAAAUUGGAACAAAAGAAACCACUUUCUUGGCCAUAGUUUCGAUCAUAUCCAACAAUUCCAAGGAAUUUUCGAACACAAAGUUGUAGAUUACGUGAAUUUGGUGCUUAAAAGUCUAGAGAUUUGGUUUCUGUUUAUUCAGUUUCUUGCGCUUUUCUACUUCUAGGAAGUUGGGGGCGGUUAGAAACAGAUGUCAGCAAAUCCCACCAACAGGUGGCAGCACAGUUCUAAGUCCCUGAGUUCCCACUCUUUUGCUUGGAUAUUAUCCACAGACGCAUUUAUAAUUUUUUUUUAAAAUUUGCCAAAAUUACUAGUGGACCACUUAUUUUGAUUUUUAAGAGUAAAUCAAGAUAUUUGUUUUCUGCUUGUAUCUGUAAAACUUAAAAGGAAAUAUAUUCCUGUACUCGGUCGUAAUUUUUUUGUUUUUUCUAUUUUUUUGGUGGAUUAAUCUUUAAUUUGGAGACCUAAUUAGCUUUAGAUCCUGAGGUGAGCCUAAUUAAGAGGAAUUCAUGGUUGUUUCCAAUUUUUGUACGACUAAUUUUUUGCAUAUUUAUUUGAGAAUUUUGAGCAAUUGAAUAUGCAAUAAUCAUCUAAUAUUUCAAUCUUUAAAAAUUUAUUUUACCUUUUCUUAGUAAAAAAAUAUUUAAAUAAAUUUAAUUUCAAUUAUUAUCACGAGUCAGAGAACGUCCUAUUUAUUUCACUUUACUUCUUUUGACUUUGAAGUUCUCCGCCAGCAAAUCCAGAGUCCCUCCCACCGACCCAUUUAUGAUGAGUUUGCUCCAGCUCUGUCGAGGAAAAUUCCAGCCCAACAGAUUUUUUUAAUGGUUAUCCCCUGUCCUGUACCUCCACUCAAAACGAACCAUUUUCUGUUCUUUUUCUUGUAUGCUUGAGAGGAAUUUUUCCACUCCAUUUUCGUCUAUAAUGAAUUGUCAAUUUCAGGCAGGGACAAGGCAAAUUAAGGACCCUGAUAAGGUUGCCAGUUGCUGGCAGACAGAUUAGCUGGAGGGGUGCAGCAUCACAACCAUAUUUUGUUUACUAGAAAGGAUCCUUUUCUGCCAAUUCUAAUCCAGUGGAUUACUACAGAAGGAAAUUGUACAUUAAUUUGAUCGACUUCUGUUGCUACUAGUGACAAAUUAAGACAUUUAUUUAUGGCUAAUGGACACUCUACCUCUAGCAGAUGGCUCUGCAAAAGCUGUACACAAGAUGAUUAAUUCCUCUGAAGAUUAGGAAGCAGUACUUUCAUUUCUUAGUCUGAUAGCAUGGAGGGGAGGCAGCUAAAUCCACCAAAUCCUUUUUUUUUUUUUGGCAUUUACAGCAAAAAUUUCGGAAUUGUGUAAUUUGCUUUAGUAAAUUUAUUCUAGUAGGAAAGCAAAGGCGGAAUCAAUGGAAAGUGACUGGUUGAAAUGCUAUUUCAUCACUGGAAUGUAUAAACGGUAGAAUCGAACAAGACAUGUAAUCCUUAAGUUCUUUCUUGAUAAUUUGUAAUUCAAUAUUUUAGGGUGUAUUGACUUGAGCCAAAUUCUGCCAUAGCUGGCAACCUGUAAAAUGAAAUGCCAUAAUAAUUUUGUCAAAAACCAAUUCUGUUCUAAUGCUGAAUCAAUUUUCUGACGCUUGAGACUGGUUUCAGUCCAUGCUUCAAUGCUGCUUCCCAUACAACAUCAAUUCUAUCUACAUCAAUUGCUCCAACUUCAUGGUGAGUCCAACCUUCCAAGGAAUGAACCAGCCCACCAGCAUGGCAUGCAUGGACAACACCUCUAUCCAUGGUAUACUGUUUUAUGAUAAUUAAGCAGAAAACAAGAAUUAAGUUAGAACAAAUUAAAGACUUAGGCAAUCAAUUCGAGGGAUUUGCGUAAAACUGCUUACCUCACAGCAUCCUAGUCCUUCAACAUCUUCAGGUAACUUCAUAGCUGCUAGAUCACCAUACGUGCAGUCCCUUCUGAACCGCAGAAUUGGUGGAACCACAAAUUGAUGAAAAUGCGUCCCUGGUGGUGCAAAUCUUUGCUCUCUAGGCGUAAUCCACUUGCCAACAAUCCAUGUCUGUCAGGACAGAAGAAACUGAAUUGGACCUUAUAAAACGAAGGUAAUACAUUAUUGUGAUGCCAAAAAGUUUUUCUUACUCCUGUAACAAGUUUAUAGGUCUUUCAGAACUUGGUUUUUAAGGUUCAUAAUUGGUAUCAUACACGGAUUCUGUUAGCAAUAGUUAGCUGCACAAGGCAAUCGAUAGAAAUGAUAAUUCUGUGGGAAGCUACAAUAUCAUACCUUACAGUUCUGAGCAGCUUGGUACUUUGACACUUGGACUAGAUACUUCUGAUAUUCUGUUGGGGCUUCCUUCUGAAUCUUUUGAAAUCUUUCUGUUGAUAAUGUCAACAUCUGCAAUGGUGUUCUUACAUAUUUCAGUUCAUGAAACACCCUUACUAUCAUAGUCAAAUAGGUAGGAAAUGAAAUUAUUCGCAGCAUAACUUCUUUUUUUGUUUGGGGGGGGGGGGGGGGGGGAUGAAGUUGAAGGAGACAAUAAGGACUUGUUGAGAGAAAUAAUAAGCUUUGAAAGUGUAGUUACCAGAACUCUAACUCUUUUCCUGCACAGGUAAAGAGCAAUUGCUCUUCCAAGUUUGGAGGUAGAUCCGCUUAAGAAUACCUCUGUCACAUCGUCUGGAAUCUCAUUGAGAGUCACAGCUGCUGUUAGUGUGUUACCAUGAACAACUCUAACUUCAAGGUCUGGAUGCUUGUUCACAAACAGUGUACCACCGCCAUUCAGAGCCUCAUUCUGCAAGAAGAUGGAUUAGGAAACUAGAAUAGUUAAUUAAACCAAACCGUUACGAUUACAUAUUUUUACAAUUCAUACAAGCAUUCAUUUACAAUCUGCAAAUAGAAUAUAAACGGGCAGUCCAUUUUGCAGAUAAAAAGCUCAUUCUUGUCAAGGUUUCGACAUUGUUUAUCAAUGGAUUGAGAUUACUUUGCAAAAAUUUGCAAAUUGUUUUGAUCAAAAUUUUCUGAUCUAACCAUCUAGAUUCAACGUUGUCUUCAUUAAGACAACGUCAGAAUUGUUCAAUAUAGGCUCUUCUAUUUAAUUACAAUGGGCUAAUUUAACACUGCAGUGCGGGAAACAUUGAAAUGACACGAGUAUAUAUGACACAAAACUGUAUGAAAUCACAGAUAAAUGUAUGAAGGGCAAUGCUGACACAAUAGGUACUGUAUUUUGCAGGGCCAAAUUACGAAUUCCUUUCUUUUAUAGGGAUAAGGACAAACAUCUCAUACUUAUAUGUCUUCAAUUGGAUUUGCCAUUUCUCAAAUCAAGCCACAGUAACAAACAACAACUAAUGAAGAUAGUUUCAGCUAUCACAAUCUGUACUCAUAGAUACAGCAGGCCAUUGCAUGUGGCUUCCUUAGUAACAUUAACUCAUGCCAGACAAGUUCCCAACGGCCCCUAUUUUGUCACAUGGACAAAAUUUCAUUGAACUUGUGAGAUUGAUAUUACAAUCUAAUUCUCCUUUGACAUCAAAUGUUUGAUGAAAACAAGAAAAGGUUUUCAUUGAGCUUGUUCCCACUAGACCAGCCUACUACACCCUGCUGGUCUAGUAGUUUUCACGCCAGGAAUAAAAGAUUUUAAGCUUACCAAAAUAUCCAGCCCCAAGAAAAAAAAAACCACAUUUAACAAAUGAGUGAUGAUCAUGAGACUAGUUAAUUACGCAAUGUCAACAAUUUCAAUCUCAUAUCUAUAGUCGAUAUUUCUUUCACCAUGCAGAAAAACUUUUGUCAUGCAUGAGCUAAAAAGGUGAAACAACUGUACGAAAAGUUAGGGCAAUGUGACCUUAUUCAAUGCAGCAAGGCUGAUAACUUUGACUCCCAAUCUAUUAGCCCUUAGAAUAGCCUCCUCAAUGUGUUUAUUAAUGCCAUCAGCGGCAAACGGUAAAAAGUACUGCAGAAAGAAAGAAACACCCAAAUCAGGGAUUUUCCUGGAUUCAGCAAAGAAUGCUAUAUAUCAUCAACUGAACUUAAUAAAUGAUCACAAACCUGAAAACCAAAGCGAGGAACAGACCAAGUUUGAUGCAGCAUGCCUCUGAGCUUGUAGAAGGAGACCAAGAAAGUUUUGGACUUAGCCCACAUCAGAAGCAUUACGACAAAGCAAACUGGCAACCAAGGGAGUAAGAUAACUCUAGUUGUGUAGGGCAUGGAUCCAUAUGAUCUGAAUACAAAUUGGGCGUGCAUGGCUGAGGUCAUGUCCACCACAUGAGCCAAGAACACAAAGUCUGGCACCCUAGAAUUUUUACCUGCAUUGGAAUUCAUGUCUGAUCAAUAUCAACUAGAAGUUGGUGAAUAGUAAUUCCUGUACCUUUGCCUUACUGGAUAAUAAAGAGAGUAGCAGGCUGUACAAAUAGGUUAUGUAUGGACCUCAUAUUUAUUGUUCAAAGUUACGCUUUUUCUUAGUACGCUUUUUCUGAUAAUUGAUUUGUUUCCAUUGUGGCUUGCUCUAGAUUUGGGACCAUUAAUGAAUGGCAUACUACUCUUUCCCACUGAAUUUGUUGUUGCCAACGAGAGUCCAGUCCUCUUGGGGUUUUUUCUUAAUUUUUUCGGUUAUAAUGGACAUUUUCUGCUCUGGUACGAGAAAAAAUAAUCAAAUAAAUUCUCAAACUUUCAAGAGGAGGCUCGGUGGAUCUAAGAAUCAGAAGCCUUGAAUCAAAUUCCUCUUCCUGCUUCUUAAAUCCCUUCCCUCCCAUGCCAAAAGAAAUUAAAACAAAAACUCUCAAACUUCCUACAAAUAUAAUGGGCAUGAAAAGGCAAAAAUAUUAUCCCAUCAUGAUAUGUUUUUGAAGAUUAUACCUGCGUCUAAACUGAAUUUCUUGUGCAUGUCCCAUGAUUUGCUGUUCAGGGUGUUGCCUAGCAGAUCAUAAAUGGGCAUGAAAAGGCAAAAAUUGGUACCCAUCUCCGUGUGGUGCAGGCUGUGAUAUCUGCAAUGUCACCCAAAAAAAAAAAGCGAAUGCUGCGUUAGUGUGGUUAUCUACAUCAGAAUUCAUGUGCAGAUGCCACAGCCUUUGAGGCAGGUGCACCAAUUUUUGUACGUCACUUGCUUUCUUCCAGUGCUAAAAAUUUAAAACCAUCUUAAAACUGGCGGAAAACAAGGACGCCGAACCCCACUUAUUAACUAUCCACUAAGUUGGAUGGAUGUAUUGGAAGCUGUAGUUUCAUGAUUGGUUCAUCAACUGCCAGUCUUUAAUCUCAAUAAAUUACUAGGUCUCGCACGGUAUUACUCUUUUGGAUGUACUAGAUUUUGAAAGUAAAUUUUGCCCAUUAAAUAAAUUUUCAGCUUUAAACAAAGUGCAAGUGUGUACUAAAGACCAGCCUAUUAACAGUUCUCCUAGAACUUCGGAAAUUGUUUUGUAGUAAAGCAAAUUGAACUAAUAUUUAAAAUCAGCCGCAUUUUUUGCCUCUUUGUACCGAACUGUCUCUCUUAGUCCCAAUUUAUCUUAAUAAAUAAUCUUGGUAGCUACAAUUUAAUAAUUACUCUAUAAAAACCUUCUUACUUACCGCGUCAAGAAUGUUGUCUAACUUCUCAAAUUAUUACUAUAAAACAUUCUACAGUGCUCCAUAACUUUGGGAUCACUCUACUUCUUGCAGAACUAUAGACUGCGAAAAAAGUAAAAGAAAAAAAAUUUUCCAAACAUGCAUAAAAUUAACCUUGCAGUUACUUACGUUGGCGAAUAUAGGAGGUAUCGAAGAAAAGGGAAUUUUUCAAAUAUCUGAUGGGGCAAGAUUUCGGUAUUGCAAUGCCCUAAAGAUCUUAGUAAAUCGAAAAUCAAGACGUAGCCAUAGAUCAUGCUUAUUGAUCCAAGUCCAAGAAAACAAGCCCCAACAAUAGGAACUCCAAUCACAACAGCCAACACAAGAUGCUCAAGAAGUGUGAGAUGGCCAGCUGCAUAUUGAACAACAAAAUUAUCAGCAAGUAAAUCGAAGUUUUGGGUAGAAUUUAAAUCUAAAAAAUGGGUUUUGAAGUUCCACCUGUGAAGGGUUGAGGGACAGGAGAGGAAUGAUGGAGUGAAUGGUAAUUGGUGAACAGAUACUUCCCGUGAAAGUAUUUAUGCGUCAAGUAAUAUAGAGGCUCCGAGAUUGCAAUAUGGAGCAAAACAACAGCAACGAAGCCUCUUGUGUUCCAUAGAGGAAGAUCAGCAAGAAACGGGAACUUGUAGAAGAUUAAUGUAGCAAGAGCUGCUUGAAGCAAAAUGAAAUUAUCCCUGAAAAAUAAAACCAGCAAAUGUCAAACUAAAAUUGCACACAACUAUUGUUUAUUAAAAAAAAAAAGUACAAAAAGACCAGCAUCUACCAGUCCCAUUCUUUAUCAAUCUGCUUAAAAUCUACUCCUUCUUUGAUGAUCCGGCGAUUUCGAGUAAGAAAAAGCAUGUUGCUGUAAGCGGUCCAUGAAUGAUACAUGAAACACCUAAGAGUACAUAAGAUUAGAAUGUGCAGACACCAAAGGGCCUGGCUGCAGGUAUCUUCUUGAUGCCUUGCAUGUAAGAUCUUUGCAAGAAACGGUCCAUAUAGGAUAUACUGUUCAAAAGAAAUGAAACAAAAAUGAGCAUCCAGCACUAAAAAACAUGAAGAGCCGUUCUUGUUUUCUUAGACAGAUUUAAAGUUCUGUUACCUUGAAACUUCCCAAGCCUUCCCAUGGCCAUGUUGACAAGAGUGCAACCAUUUUCCAAGUCGUACAAUCUUUUCUGGCUCUGUCUUUCUCUUAUAGGUGUAAAUGGAAAUGGAAACGAUUGAAAACCAGAGAAGAGAACCAAGAGGAAGAAAUGGAGAGGUUUUGAAAGUUUGGCUUGGUUCUCUUAUCGACAAGCAAGGUGUAAAAGAAGUCUCUCUUGCUCUUUUUUCUCACCCAAGGAUUAUGUACUUAUAUACUGAGCUAUCAACUCCAUUGAUUGCAUUUUAGUUGUGUCCAUGUAAUAACUUUGGAAGACAAGUCAGGUGUGAAUAUCAAAUGUAUCGAAUUCGACGCGUUCAUCUAUGUACUACUCUUACAGUACAAUAUGGCACAGCUGUGGUCCUGGCCACUCUCAGAAUUUAAUGCACCUAUAGUUCUAUGUAGCAUUUUUGCGUGUCUUGGAGAUGUGGAUGGAGUGGUAUUUUUUUUUUCUUUUAAGAAAAUUACGGAGUACUAGCUAAUGGAGAAUUCAAAUUCUUAUCUUGGGGGGGAGGUGGGGGUAGUUGCCUUGUCUAAAUAAGGCACUAGCAAUCUCUCAAAGAUCAAUAGUAAUAAUAUACGAAACCACCCAAGUCACUGAAAAAUGCAUCGAUGGCCUACCCUGUUUUUUUAAAUGGAAUAGCUUUUUAUUUUCUCCUAAACUUCUUUUUUUUUUUUUUUUAUUGAUGAGAGAUUCCUAAUCUUCUAAGAGAAAAGUUGAAAAGAGAAAGACUUAAAGUCGCACUAGAAUACUCGUGAUCACUUAAGUAAUGAGUGUGUUUAGAUAGGAGAUUGAUUAUUUGAAAUAACUAUUGUGAUACUUUUUGUAAUGUGGUGUAUAUAAAAUAAAAAAAGUGUGUUGAAAAUUAUAUUUGUGAUAUAAGCAAAUAAUUUGAAACCUAAUAAUGGCUAUAACAAUUAUAUAUGUUGAGUCUUAGAACUUAAUUUUCUUGCGGUUUUCAUGAAUUAAGAAGAAAUUCUUUUCUUGUCUUUUGGGCAAUUGACCAAAUUUUUGGUUGUAUAGGCUGGAUAUUGCCUGGUUAGUAUAGUUGAUGAUCAGUCCUAGGAGGAAAACGACAUGACUUUCCCAUAGCCACAAAAUGCCAAAGAACUUUCCCUCUUUAAGGCCUUUUUGUACUUGAAAAAUGUAAAAAAUAAAUAAAUAAAUAAAUUUUGAAAAAGAAAAAAAUGUCAAUUAUUUGAUGAUUCACAAGAAAACUUGUAACAAAGAAUCAGAAUGGUAUCACAAUCUAUGAUUGACUUUCUUUCUCCCAUAUCUUCUUGCCCCCGAUUUAAUCUUUUGGUUUAACCAGGUGAAACAGAUGUUGUAUGCAUAUUAAUUUGUUGAACCGACCUGCUGGGACUCUUCUUCAAUUUGUCUUUCCAACCACUAGAGGUAGCCUGCUCUUUUUUCCAUUGAUUAUUUUAAUGCCGGCCGUAAUUAAUUAAAUCUUGUUGAGGAGGUCCAAUUGGACCUACCGGUUUCGUGAGGGAUAGCAUGGCCGGGGCUGUCAUGCAUUCAAUUCAUCAAGAAUUAGUGGAUUUGAUUUGUAUGGUGCUGAUGAAUUGUGCCCAAAACAUUUGCUUGCCUUAAGUACAUCCACUUUUCUUUUUUUUUUCCUCCCCAAGGUUUAUCGAUCAGCCAAAUGGCAGCUUUUCCUAACCGGAAAAUAUCUCAAUUUAUUUGGAAAAUACUGGCCUUUUCAAAUUGGAUGAUUCCAAAUUCCAUUUAGCAUCAGACAGCACAUUCUGGAAACACUAAUCAAUAACGCCGCAACAGUACAUGAGAUUAAUUUUUGGAUUAGCAUGUCAUGUGUUUCGAGGUUGUGGUGUAUAAUCACAAUCUGUAGUAAUUGCCAAAUCGAAUGGAAAAUCAACCACGUUAUAUGUACGUACAGAAGUUCUGCUUAAUUAUACUACGUACAUGAUGGACCAAAAAGAAAAUCGAAGAAUGAUAAUAAAUAUUUGGAUGUCCAAGUGCAGUGGCCGGCAAUGGAAACCCUGUGUUUUUCGUUUUUUAUAACACUUUUGCGGACGUUCAAUGUUCUAACCAAAUCAGCUUAUAUGCUUUUCCUAUAGGUUUUUUUUUUUUUUUUAACGCACUUUUAUUUCAAUGUCCGAUGAAUUUUGACGGAUUAGGUAACAAGGAUCAGUGAACUUUGGAACCUUUGAAGCUAGCUACUAAUCUUUUUUUUUUGUCUGUAUUUGAAAAUCCUUUUAAACCUACCAUUUGUCUGUACUUAACAACCACAAUUAAUACUUCAACUUCGCAUCUCAUGAUUUUGAAAGACGGCUCCUAAUUAAUAAGGGUUAGGAAAAAGUAAAGGCGAUAUUUUCAGCAAUGCAUUACAAAUUUAAUGUAGCUGUGUGCAAUUUGCAGAGUCGUGUGAGAGAUUUCUGUCCAAGGGAAGGGAUUCCCGUGAAGGUGUUCGUAUUGUCAACUAUGGUGGGCACAACUAAUUCUAGGCAACUAAUUCUAGGCUAAAUCCAAGAACUGUCUACCAAACACUUGUUAAUUAGCCAACCCUUUAUAUUUAUAUAUAUACAUAUAUAAAUAAAAUCUUUAAAUUCUAGCGUUAACGCUUCAUUACUAGGGAAAAGAUUUUGCUUCAAAGCUCAAGCCAAUAACUUAAUUGAACUUAAUUUGACCAUUUCCCGAUACGAAGUAAACUUAUACCUGUAUGAAAAAUUAAACAUCAAGAAGAAAAAGUUCAACGAGAAAAUUCCCCAGUAACGUAAAUAAAAGUCGAGUGUAGCCAUCAACCAUUUAGGGCUAGUAUUCUCCGGUAGCAGAUGGGCAACUGGUUGUCUUGGGCCGAUCAUCCCGUUUGAUCUGUUCAACAUUGACACACAGUUGCUUCUCCAUGGCAUUUUCAGGACAAAAAAUAGACGGGUCAAUGACGUAUACAAGUCCAAUUCCUCAUCUUUGGGGCAAAUGAAAUAGUACCCACUUCAUGGACAAUAAAUUAGGAACAAUCAUUCACGCACUAAUAAUAUAUAUAAAAAAAAAAAAAAAAAAAAUUCUACACUAAACGACAAUAUAAUAUGUAGAAAAAUUCUAUACUAAACGACAAUACAACUUAAGCGUAGAAAUGAAUUAAAAGAUGACCCGCCUCCUUCAUUUUAAAGCAUUCAUGUUUGUGUCUAUCAUUUAAAAAAUCAUGAUUUUAAAUUGUUUUUUUUGUAGACAGACUCGUAUAUAUUAAAUAUGUUUAAAUGUAUAUUAUAAAUACAAAUUUUUAAAUUUAAAUUUAAAUUAUUUAUCAUGUAUUUAGACCUACUGAUGUAUGUACUGUCUGCAUCUGCAUGUAUAAAAAAAAAAUUAAUGCAACAAAUAAAGAAUUACUAGUCUCUACCACCUCUCUGUAGUCUCUAAUUACCAUCAACGAAACCAGCUUAUGCAUAUGACAGCGCGCACAUUUCUUCACAGCAGCAUCAUUAUCGAACCAGAACAGCUAAAAUGUUACAAGCGGCAAGUAAUAUGCGCCGAUUUCAAAUUCGAUAACGUGCAAGUUUUGAAAUUCUCUUUUGGACUAAUUUCGUGUGAACUAGCAGGACUGAUUUAUUCUACAAAUUCAAAAACCAUGUAAAUCCAGAUCAACUUGUACAAAUAUAGACGAGACGACGGUUAAGGUUCUUGAUUCUGAAUUUUGCCAAGAUAUUUAACCAUUGCACACCACAUAUUCUGAAUUCAGCCCCAUGUUCAUGAUAAACAUAAGUAACUACUUCCCACAUGUUGAUGGUUUUAGUUUCGAUCCACUUGCGGUGCCCACUUAUUUAGUUGCAGGCGUACUGAUCUGCAGCAUCUUUUGAUAUUUCUCAUUCGAGCUGCAUUCAUGACUAGACGUCUAGGGGAGGAAUAAUAACCACAUGUUUUCUUGAAUCUUUGAAAGGAUAAGGGCCUUGUUUAGAAGUAAGUUUUUUGUCAAGUUUGUCUAUUGUAAGUUUUUGAAAAAUUUUAGUUACAGUAACUUUCAAAAAUUUUCAAAAUUUUUAAACUAUAUAUUUCAAAAAAAUUUUUAAAAACUUCUACAGUAAAAUUUUAGACAAAUAUCCAAAAAACUCACCUUCCAAACGAGGUUUCGUGGGAUAAUGAUGCAAAGCAAACACUUUCAAGCCAAUUUUAUGUUUGCAGCCGUAGAGUUAUGGAGAACAGAUAAUUGUUCCAAAUGUCAAGAUAUCAUUUACGUAAAGAAUGAAACUUAUCAUGUGAAUACCCUACGUAGCCAGCUGUCGCCAUACAUGCAAUUAAAACUACAUCAUUUUCGAUCAUGCCAUACUUUUGAGUGUUCAUUCUUUUGUCUGAACAACAGCGCUAAUUAGAAGUAACUAUUCCUUAGGCAAUGAAAACAAUAUAGGAUCCCUGUUUCUAGGUUCUUCUUCUUCUUUUUAACAUGCGAAUGAAGGGAUUUGUUAUCAAUACCGGCGACUGGGACGAAGCGAGGUCCGUAUGUAAAGCUUUUUCAUAAUUUCCUGCCGGACAUUGGGCAAAACUAGAUAAGUGACAUAUGGAAAACCAAGAAAUAGUUGCAGUUGCAUUGGAAAAGAAAUAGUGUUCCACCAGGGACCAGGCUAGUUCAGUACCAUGUAAAAGCUUUUCAUAACCUGGAAAUGAAGGGAAUUGUUAUCAAUGCCAGCCACUAGGGACCAAACUAGUUUAGUAUGUUAAAGCUUUUCAUAUUUUCUUGCCAGAAAUAGUGCACAAAACUAAAUGAUGUUAUCAGUGAAAUUGUAAGAAAUUGAGAAUCAAGGAGUAGCUUUGCAGUUUGGAAUGUCAUCAGUGAAAUAGUGUUGCAAAAUUGGGACCAAGCUAAUAAUUUGGUAUGUAAAGUAGGGGUGGGCACAGAUCGGGUACCCGCCCUAAUAUGAUUUAGCUGACCCGACCCUAAUAUUUUCGGAUCAACCAUUUUGUGACCCUAAGCCGCUCCUAAUAUCUUCGGGUACCCGAAAAAAAAAUGCGGGUCAUAGGAUACCCGCCUUAUGACCAGCCCCAAAAAAAAAACUAUUUUUCAAUAAAAAAUUGCUUUCCACUUAAUAUCAACAUGUUUUUCAAUUAAAAAAACAUGGUUUCCAAUUAAUAUUAGUAGAGAUAUUGUAAUUAAAGUCCAUACAUCACCAUUUUCACACAUUUCAUCCAACAAUCAAAUCGAUCUCAUAAAUUUAGUAUAUAUUAGAAUUAUAAUAUCUAAUAGAUAAAACGAAGUUUCAUAAUAAUUUUGAGUACAUCACCAUUCUCACACAUUUCAUCCUUCUACAACACAACAAACACAAGGAUAAUAAGUAUUUGGCAACUUCCCCAACUUCCUUAAGGAUGUUAUGGUACAAGAUUGCAUCUCAAAUAAGUCGAUAGUGAAAUCAAGUUCAGAAAAGAAUUAAAUAGACCUAAUUAUUUUUGAAAAAAGUAUAACAAAAAUAACCUUGAAAAAUCUUCCCCAGCUUCUUUACAUCUUUGGAAUAGACCUUAUGGUAUUAAAGGUGAUGAAAAAGAAAAAUAAAUUUCUUACACUAAAUAAAAGAGACAAAUUUAAGAGACAUAAUUGCAAUAAAAUAAAUCAAAUAAAUCAAUAAAUGAAAGACAUAAAUGUUUUAAUUAUCUAGCUAACAGAAAAUUGAAACUCCAAACACAAAUCUUUGAUUGAAUUGAUGCAAAAUUUGCAGGAAAGAUCGAUGGAGGUAGAAUAAAAAUAAAAAUGAUGAAAGGGAUGAACAAUUUUUAUAACAGAGUUUCACAAUUUUUUUUUUCAUUUUGUUCGUUUGGUUCAUGUUUCAUCGAGAAUAUUCGCUUUCUUCAAACAAGAUGAGGAGAUGUGGAUCAUAUGGGAUUAGAAUAUAAGUCUUUGAGCCACUUCACUUGCACUUAGAAUUAAAAAUUAUAAAGUUAUAAAAUGAUGCAUAAUUUUUUAAUAUUUAUAUAAUAUACCCUGCGGGUUUGAAUUUUUCUAAUCCGCAUCCGUAUCCGAUUUUUGAGGGUACCAAACCCUCAUCUACCCCGCUAAGAAAAAUCGGAUCGGGUAUCCUAUUUUUCGGAUUGGGUUCAUCGGAUUUUCGGAUCGACAGGUUUUUUUGCCCACCCUUAAUGUAAAGGCCUUUCAUAUUUUCAUGCUAGAAAAAGUGAACUAAAUGAUGUCAUUAGUGUGACAUUAUAAGAAAUUGCGAACCAAGAAAUAAUGUUGAUGUUGCACCGUAAAGAAGCAAAGAAAAAGAUAUAGCUCUGCAUUUACACCAAAGUUGUCCGGUUUAGAUUGCACUUUUACAAGUUUUUCGGAAUGUUUCAAGUAAUAGUUUCAAAAAACCAAUGGCCCUUUGGACUGUUGCCACCUCCAAAGACUUUAAAUAUUGGUGGGGUGAGAGGUCAAAAGUUCAAAUUUUGCAUCCCAUUAAUUUGCCACUAUAUGUGGCUUUUUCUAAAUUCAUACAAGUACGUAAUGCACUCGUCUGGUCCAAUGGUGGUUCAAUCCCCAUCGAUUUCUCUAGGUCUCGUUGGACCUCUCCCUCUCCCCCCCACCCAAAAAGUGUAAGCUAGAGUAGGAGUCGAUUAGGCUAAUUGUUACCGUCUAAUAAAAAAAAAGUAACAGUAUCAAAAGUGAUGGACGUGAAAUAAGAAAAUUAUUUAUAAUGUGUCCAAAAAUUGUUUUCUAGAAACUUACAAGCCAAACAAGUUUACAUCAAUUCCAAGUUCCUACGAGAUUUUAUAUACAGCAUUCCAACUUUUAACGAGGUCUUAAUGAGUCUUUCCACAAGGUAAAUUAUUAUAAUUUCUUUUUGAAGGAAAUUAAACCAAACUAUUUUAGUAUUUAGUUUCUUAAUUUGGUUUGAUAUUUUAUUUAUUUAGUUUCUGUAUUGGUUUAGGAAAUAUAAAAUCAAUUUUUCAAAUAAAUUUCGGUUUACAAUUGUAUUUGUUUUAGAAAAUUUUGAAAUCUAUAAAAAACUACCAGUUUAGUAGGUUAUUAUUUGAAGAGUUGAGUUGAAUCUUGAGAGUAGAUUUGAGAGAAAGUCUCACAGUUGAGAUUUAUAAGUUAUCGUGAGUGAAAAGUUACGACUUGAUAUUAUUAUUGGUUGGGUUUUGUUGAAAUUUGAGUUAAUUAAAUUAUUGAGUAUUUGUUCUCCUCCAAUUCCCACAUAUUUUUAUAUAUGCUCAAAUUGCUUCCGCUGUGUGGGGCGCGUGAUUUUUCGUGCCAAUAAGUGAUAUCAGAGCUCUAGACUUUGAUCUUGGGGCUUGUUCGUGAAAUUAAAGUAUGGAUCCGUAUUAUUGAUCAUGUUGUGGUAUUUUUAUCUUUGAUGGUAAAAAUGAUUUUGAAAUUUGGAGUUUGAUGAUGAAAAGAUUUUUUCAUGUUAUUGGAAUUUGGGAUACUGUUGAGAAGGGGUUCACGGAACCUAAAGCAAGCUCAAAAUCAUUAAACGAUCUAAUUAAAGAAUUAAAGAGGAAUAGACAAUUGGAUUGUAAGACAUUUCACUAUCUCAACACUCAAAUCCAGUUGCAUGUAGCGAAUAAAUUUAUACACGCAAAGACAGCAAAGGAGGCUUGAAUAUUUUUAAUAUAUUUCUAUAGUCAUGGUAGAGAAGAAAUUUGUGAUGAAAAAGAAAAAAAAGAAUAUUUUAAUAAGUCAAAGAAAGAAGAAAUUGCAGGAACACUUAAAGAUGAAGAAUUUGUGAUUGAAAAAAAAGUUCGCAAGUGUUUAAGAGAGAAAGUGAAAUUAAAGAUGUGAUUGAAGAUUAUGACAAUACAAAGAUUAUGACAAUACAUAAGUUAUUAAUUUUGUCGAGAUUGAUGAUUUUCUUGAAGAGAAGUGAUAGAAUUGAUUAAAAACAGUUUGUGAAGUGGACAAAUUAAUCGAAAGUUGUGAUACUGUUAAAAGUGAUGCAGUUGUUAGUGCUGAAAAAGUAAAGGAAAAACAUGAUGAUGUUAAAAACAUUGGUAGCGGCAACUAUGAUUUUUUGGUUUUGGGAGAUUUUAUUAGUGAUGUAGCUAAAUUAAAUUAUGAAGCAUUGAAUGAAGAAUGGGUGGAUAUGUUUGAAUUUUUUCAUAAGAGUAAUCAAGUCAAGAAAUUGAUCGAAAACUACAAAUUUCGUCCAUUCUUGCGCGUGAAGAUAAAAUUGGAGAUCAAUUACAAGUUGGAGUUCCACGUCAUCUAUACAGCAACCAAGUUGUUCAUGGAGAUUCAAACUCAUGAUGGCAUUGGAGAUGACAACAUUAAGAGCUUUGUUUAAGGGAAGCAAUGAAGAAAAUUAAACCAAACUACUUUAAUAUUUAUUUUCCUAAUUUGUUUUGAUAUCUUAUUUAUUUAGUUUCCGUAUUGGUUUAAGAAAUCUAAAAUUAAUUUUUCAAGUAAGUUUCGGUUUACAAUUAUAUUUGUUGUAGGAAAUUUUGGAGUUUAUAAAUACUACCAAUUUAGUAGGUUACUACUCAAAGAAUUAAGUUGAGUCUUGAAAGUAGGUUUGAAAGAAAGUCUCAUAAUUGAAAUUUAUGAGUUGUCAUGAGCCAAAAGCUAAAACUUGAUAUUGUUAUUGGUUGGGUUUUGUUGAGAUUUGAGUUAAUUAAAUUAUUGAGUAUUUAUUAUUCCUUCUCUUCCCACAUAUUUUUAUAUGUGUUAAAAUUGCUUUUGUUGUGUGUGCGCGCGAUUUUUCGUGCCAACACUCUUUAAUAGAGUAGUUCAUGAAGUAGACUAUUAUAAUUAAUCAGUAUGAUAGUAGAAGUUUUUCUUUAAUAUGAACCAUCUAAUUGCCACGGCCAGUCAUGGUAACCUACAAUUUUGAAAAGAACCCGCUUUUAGUAGCACGUAAUUAAAUUAGAUUGAAACUUUCAUAUUGUUCCGCCAAUCACCUAGGGCUGUCAACGGGCCGGGUCCGGGCCGGAAUUCAUUAUUCCGGAUCCGGACCCGAAUUACUAUGCCGGAUCCGGAUCCGACCCGUUUACCCGACGGGUCUUUUAUUCUAUGUUCCGGAUCCGGAUCCGGGUCUACCCGAACAAAUUUACCAAAAUUUAUAAUUUCUAAUAAAAAUGAGAAAAAAAUAUAUUUGUAAACUAAUUUCUAACUAAUGCAAAGAAAAAACCAAAUAAGAAAAGAAAUCAAAUUAACUUUAUUAAAAUACAUCACCCUAAUCAAAUUAUAUUGAUAAAUAUAUAUUUUUUAAAUUAUUAAUUUAUUUAUAUCCGGAUCCGGGUCUAAUACGGGUCGGAAUACUAUAUUCCGUAUCCGACCCGUUUUUUUGUUUGACAAAACGGAUCCGGAUCCGGGAAACGGAAUUAAAUCCCUACCCAUACCCGCAAUAAUUUCACGGAUCGGUCCGGAUCCAGGUCUAGACCCGACCCGUUGACAGGCCUACAAUCACCACAAACCAAGUGUCUUAAAAUCACUAGCCUACACUGGGGAUCAUUGUGAAAGUUAAUAGUUGUCAAAAGCACUAACCAAGAAGCAAGUUUCUCCAACUAAAAUCAAUUUCCAGCAUUAUGCAGUAGUAGUGCAAAGCCACAAACGGACGUAGACUUGAUUUGACUUAUUGAUUAAAAAUCAAAAUGAAUAAUACAAUUGAUUUGAAUUUAUAGAAGAAAAAUUUGAAACCCAAAUUUUCAGAGCAUGUUUCUAUUUAAGCAAUAUAUACUAAACCACAAAUUUUUAGUGGUUUAAGUAGCAUUCCAUUAAUUCUAAAGAUCCUACUAAGAUUAGGAUCCACUUUAUAAAUUAGAUCAUAAAGUUGUAGGACCAUGAAAGCAAGAUGAAAAUUCUAACUAUGCCCCACACUCCCUCUCCCCUCAAAAAGGGCAAAAAAAAAAAAGAAAAGAUUCCGUCUUUUCUAUAAUUUCCAUUAGUGUACCAUCCUACAAUUUUUCACACCAAAUGUCAAUACAACUUUUUCUGGCAUUUGCUCUAUACUACUUCAAAGCAAAGAUAAAUUAUCAUAUAAGAAAAAGGAAAAAGUAUUUGAAGACUUAAAUCCCUACACUUACCACAAUUAAACAUUGCCAAUAACUUGACUCUAGAUUUUUUGUGAUAAGGAGGUCAUAGAGAGACGGUGGUAUCAUUUUCUAUUCUCAACUUCCCUGGAGUUUACUUAAAAGAUAUGUGAAGGGAUUUAUUAAUGAAUUGUAUAUGUCAUGCAUGAUGCCUAACCAAAAUUUGGAAUAAAAUAUUUUUGUAUGUUUGUCCCCUGAUAAGAGAGACUCCAUCAUUUUUAAUACAUAGUGGGCAGUCAAGAAUUUACGAAUAAACUAGGCAUCUUCUGUUCUCAUUCUUUCCAAUCAUUUGUUAAGUGAUAAAUUGAUAGGUUGUAAUUUUAUUAUUUAUUUUAUUAUUAAUUUCCUCUAUUACCUGACCUGAUGUGGAUUAAUUGUUAGAUUCUACUCACUUUUGACAAUUUGUAUUUAUUUCAGGGAAUAAAACGAAAAUAUCAUAAUAAGUACCAAUUUAGCAAUUAUCAGAAAAGAGUUCAAGUAGCAGGAGCAUUUUUAGAACGUCAAGAUGCGACCCCUUUUUGAUAAUUUGGCGAAAGACAGCAUGGAAAAAUGGACGAAAAGGCUGAAGUCUUCUAUUCCGCUUGGGGGAGGACGCUCUCUCUUUUCUUCCUCUGUAGGGGACGCCGCACAGGAGGCAUUAGAUAGAAAUUAGAAACAGGAGACAACUAGCAGAUGACUUGGCAGUUUAGCUUUUGACUUUUCCGUUUCGUCUUCUUGUGGUUCCAUUACUCGUAUGUCAAGACCAAGUGAAGACAUUGAAUUACUUCCUGUAGCUUGCCUUUUUUCUUGAUUUCUCCGAAUUGAAUUUAGCCAAUCACGGAGACAAUGGCCGCAACUAUUGCUGCAAUUUUGUGUGGGUCCUUCUUGUCAAGGAUAAACUAAAUCCCCUUUUCUAGUCAAGAGUCAAGAAAUAAUGGAGGCUUUGGUUCGGCUAAAAAUUGUGAGAUCGAUUUAAUUUUAUCUUUUUCUUUUAUUUAUUAGUAUUCGUAUAUUCUCUGAUUACAGUGCUUAUGAUUGUUCAAUUAAUUAAUUAUCUUGGAUCCGGAUAAUUAGUUAAUUUAGUAACCUAUUGUCAAUUAGGAUAUUAAAUCCGUAAUUGUUUAAUUGCUCUGAAAUAGUGACAACUGACAUAAUUGGAUUUGUGUCAGGGGAAUACGCGGGUUAAUAUAAAAUAACCCUGGUAGUGCGUUAUUUGGUUAAAAUAGGGCUCCUCUAAUACGUAAGGCAAUUGGGGAAUUAAAUCUUACGGGCGUACCUAAAAUUAUUUCUCAAUUAAAGCAGUGAUUAACGGGCGUACCUUAAUCAUCGACACAGUAAGGAGGGGUUGACUGUCAUCGCUUGUUUGACAGUUAUAACCUAUUUAUUAGUAAAUAAUUGGAAUUACCUUUGCAUCGAUGAUCCAUUAGGUGAACCAUUGCUGAAAUUAUUUUUUGGCUAUACCUUUAAUUAUUAUUACCUUGAUUUUAGUGAAUUGUCAUUUAAUUUUUAGUUGGCUCUUUUAUUCUUAGUUGAAUUGUUUUAAUUGCCACCCUUUAUAAAAACACCCCCUGUGUUAUUUUGGAUUUCUAAAGAGACAAAUAUCCCCAGUUCCUGAGGAUACGACCCUACUUGCUCUGUCUACAAAUUCAUAAUUAUUUGUGAAAAAAGACAUCCCAUUCGGGUAUAUCGGAUCAAGUAAACUCUUCGGGAACAGGGUGAAUCAAGUAACACAUUGUACACCUAGAGUUCCUGCUCCAGUACUUGGAAUCGGGUUUUGGUUACUUUAACUGGCAAUUAAGUUUAUUUUAUUAUUGUACAGGUUUCGACAACCUGUCAUAAACGUGGCUCAAAUGUCCGAGAGGAGAGGGGGGCAACGUUUUACUUUUGUUUUAGUGGUUGCAAUUUGCAAACAAUGAAAAGCCCAAUGACAAUUGAAGGCGUUAGAUUGCCUUAAUAGUGUGAUUCGGGUUUGGUUUCUGGGCUGAUCUGUUUUGGUUAAGGAAGCAGCAAGCCUUGUCUGCUUUAUGUUGCUUAGGCCUAUCUAUAAGGUCGUUUGAAGAGAUGAUCCAGUUCUCAACAAAAUCUGUCGGCAAGUUUCAACAUGCGUGGGCCAACGAUUGCCUCCUAAAUCAAUAGGGUAGGCUUGAUUGGGAUGUUACUGGCAUCCUCUUGGAAUUCGCUGACUAGUGAUUUGACAACUUUUGGCUGGAAUUCGCCCCAUUUUCCACUCCAUUUCAACUCCAGCAGCGGGCACCUGUCUCCGUCGCCAGCCUUGCAUAUUUUAGUUAGUAUUGUGACAUGGUGGGCUUACCCGUUUUGAAUGCGUUCCCUUUAGAUUUUUUUUUUUAACUUUUCUAACGAGCACUCGUUAACACAUUUAAAUCACAUCUAACUUAUCAUAUAAAUAUACACACUAAUAAUUAUUACCCUUCUUUACAUUUAUAGAUAUUCUCUAAUUAACUUUGCUUUUUCAAAAUUUUAGUACCUUAUUAAGUACAACUUAAGGAAUGACCACGGAGUGCCCAUUAGGUAGAUUUUUUUUUUUUUUGAUUUUAAUAAUGCUUUUGAUGCAUUUGGCUUUGACUAUGAUUUGAAAUGAGGACGUCACAGCUCCUGAGAUAAUUCCAAAAUCACUGGGGCUAGAGUUCAUUGUUCCUACAUAUCAUUUCGUUUACAUACAAACUCUAGGUGGGGAACGGGGGAGGGGCAAAAAGGCAAAGCCACAAACGAAUUACCCUGCGAAUUUAAAUAUAUUUCCAGCAGUUUCAAGUAAGGUUGUGCAUCACAAGGAAGUACGUACUAUGCUUAAUUUCUUUGUUCUAAAAAAAAUUUAGAGAGUACAAUAAUGUAUUUGUUUGAUCUUGAGCUUCCUCUUCAUUUCUAAUACAAGUCCAAUUGGACUCCUCUACUCUUAUACAUAGUUAUUAAACCCGAUCCGACCCGACGUGAAAUAUAUAACCGAAGCUGUAAGCAUGGUGUUACACUGUUACUCAAAGGGCCUAAGCUACUUCACGCAGAGUUUCACUUUGAUCCCAUUCAUUCACUAUUCAGCAAGGGAGGUGAGACUUGAUUGCUUGGUUGUUUACUACUCUUGGGAAGCAAUUGUUGCUGGUCCAUUUGGAUGAUUCUGCUGGUAUUUAAUUAACACGAUGUUAUGCGAAAAUCACCUAAACCAUGUUACAUUUUUUUGUUUUUUGUAAUAAGUCCCUGUAUCGAAGAGGUUUGCAUCCAACUGAAAAAGAAAUAAUUAAGCUCAAAAAAUUACACUUUAUAGACCGCUGACUAAUUGAUAAUACGCUCUAGGCUGGAAUGUCAGCAAUUCCAUUCUUUGUUCAGUGUUGGUGCAUUUCUAAAAGAGGGCUGCCUUUGAAUUCAUCCACGACAUGACAAGCUUGAUUUGGAUAUCUUGGCAGACAAUAACGCUAUUAGUGGUUUGUUACAACCCACAAUAUGCAAUUUUUUUUUAUUGUUUGAAUUCAUACCAUUUUGUAACUGUUUAAUAAGACAUGAUAUGACAAGCAAAAAAAAAAAAAAUUUCAGCUUGUUAGGUGCAAUUGCUGUAAUACUUGGUCUAUAUAAUUAAUGCGUAGUAAGAACUUCUGUUGGGAUGUACGAAUUAUCUUUCUAAUGUUUUUCGGGGAGAGGCAUCAAUUUCAAAGGCAUCAUAUGCAUGGUUUCUCUUGAACCAAUUGACCCGCGAAAAAAUAUUAAUUAUUCUAUGACAAAUUAUAGUACUAUAAAACAUUAGUAAUUUACUCGGUUUACUAAGAUUUUCUAACAUCAUUGUGUACUUAAAGCGUAACAAAGUAUUCAAAAUUAUUAAUCCCAAUCGUAUUCAAAGUGUCCAUCCGAUAGACAUGUACUAAUCACAGUCGGUAGUGUUAUUAUUAGUGUACAAAUUAAAUUACUAUAGCACAAUAUUGUGUACAGAUAAUCAAAAUGACAACUGCAAAUGGAAUAUUCCCAUUAUAUAUCAUAAACCGGGUAAAUGCCAUUGUCCAACUCAGCUCUUCAUCAGAGCCAACCUUACAAAUAUCAUGCUCGAUAAGCAUCAUUUUUUUGGAAAUAUGCUUUGGCUGACGAAGCCAUCCUCAUGACCCAUCAGAGUUAUUGAAUCAUGAUGGAUGUGCCAAAAAAAAAAAAAAACAAGAAGUUUUGUCGUCCUAUCUGUUCAUCUUGGAGGUUCAUAUGCACUAAGUAACGCAUAUUGGCAAGUGACAAGAAACUUCCGAGAGCUUUAAUUUGUCCUUUCAAGAAGCUGCAUGAUUAGUUGUAUAUCUUUCGGUACACAGAAUUAUUGUACAAAGAAUAUAAUAAAUAUAGCGUGGUUGGAAGCCUAGCUAUAUAAGAGCGGUGCUGUCUCUAAUUGUUUCAAAUCAAGCAUAGGCAAAGAUGGGUUAUGAAGAUCAAAAGCCUCUCAUUUUCAUGGUUGUUUUGCAGUUUGUGUAUGCAGGAAUUACUCUAUCUACAAGGGCUUCGCUCUUACAGGGAAUGAGUCCCAGAGUUUUUGUGGUUUAUCGGCAAGCCCUAGCCGCUUUGCUUGUAGCUCCUGUGGCAUUUUUCAGGUCAAGGUACAUUUAUGGGAUAUCCAACUUCUUUCUAUUCAUCUUAUGCCAUGAAAUAUAGAAUUUUGAAAUUAGGCCAAAUCUAGCUCUGCUUUGAUUAUUUUAAUUCUUUUUUUUUUCUUUUUGAUUUUGGAGUGCAGGAAAGGAGGAAACACAUGUUCUUUAGGAUGGAAGAACUUCUGGUUAAUAUUUCUAGUUUCUCUUGUCGGGUAAGUUUUAGUUAAAGUAUGAAACUGUAUACAUUCCGGACGGUACAUGUGGCUGAAUACUUGAUUACUUGCCCAUUGAUUUCCUCUGCAGUGUGACGGUGAACCAGAAUAUUUAUUUUGAGGGACUAUACUUGGCGUCAUCAUCAAUAGCAAGUGCAAUGGGGAAUCUACUACCUGCAAUUACUUUUGUUUUGGCAUACAUUGUGGGGUAAUUCCAAAUAAUUCAAGAAUUAAGAAAAGUGUAAUUAAGAAGUUGAUUGUUAAAAUGAUCUACAUCUUUGAAUAUAGACAUUCAUCACGAGAUAACUUAAAGCUUUAAAUGGUUUUUUUUAAUGGCUUUCAUCUUUCUUUUUAUUUUCUUUGAAAUAACUAGAGCUUUAUUUGAGUUUAAGGUGUUUUUAAAAAAAAAAACUUUUUUAUUUUUCUCAAGUCUAGAGCAAUAAACUCUAAAAGUAACUUCAACAACUCUAAAAACACAACAUCUCAAACAGGAGGAGGGAGGAGGGAGAGGGGGGAGGAGGAGGGAGGAAGGAGAAGAGAGGAGGAGGAGGAGAAAGAAGGAGAGAGAGGAGAGAGGAGGGAGGAGAUGAUGGUGGUGGGUGGUGGUCAUAGGUGGUGUAAAUUUUUUUUAAAAAAUAUUUUAAAAAAAUUAUAAAUUCUAAAAAUAUUCCAAAAUACAUUCGAAAAAAUCCCCUAUAAAUACCCUUAAAACAUCCUAAAAACAUUUAUAGUAAAGUUUUUUCAUAUAUAGAGUUACGGUAAGGUUUUUUGAAAAAAUCCCCAAAAACAGCUAAUAAUAGAAAUAACCCAAGAAUAUAUUGUUCUAGUGUUCUUAAUUCAUAUUUUUAUAUUAUCAGACAAGAAAAAAUAAACAUCCGAAGCUUGAGAAGUAAAGCAAAAUUCUUCGGCACGAUCAUAUGUGUUACCGGAGCCAUAAGCAUGGUGUUACUCAAAGGGCCGAAGCUACUUAACAAAGAGUUUCACUCUGAUCCAAUUCAUUCAAUAUUGAGAUUGAGCAAGGGAGGUGAGACUUGGUUGCUUGGUUGUUUACUACUGUUCGCAAGCAAUUGUUGCUGGUCAAUUUGGCUGAUUUUGCAGGUAUACAAGUUCGAACAUUGUUGAGAUCAUAUUAUGUGAAAGUCACUUAAACACGUUAUAUCUUCUCACAGGCACCGGUGUCCAAGAGCUAUCCUGAUCAUUUAUCUCUAACAGCAUGGAUGUGCUUUAUUGCUGCCUGGCAAUCGGCAAUUGUGGCAUUCUUUAUCGAGAAAGACUUAGAUGCUUGGAAAUUACAAACACCUCUGGAACUUGGAUGUCUAUUCUUUUCAGUAAGUGUGAGGUUUGCAUUCAAUUGAAAAAAAAAAUUAUGUUCAUAAAAUUUUACUCUUAGACCACUGAUAAAUUAAUUCUAUUAUAGGCAGGAGCAUCAGCAAUUUCGUUCUUUGCUCAGGCUUGGUGCAUAUGUAAAAGAGGACCACUUUUUUCUGCCAUGUUUAAUCCUUUAUCCACUGUCAUUGUGACCUUUAUCGCCUCCACAUUCUUUCGAGAAGAGCUCUACAUUGGAAGGUAAUACCUCUCGCUGUAAUUUUGAACAUCAUAUAUUGUCAUGGAGGGAAUAUUAGAUGAAUUUGAAUGAAAAACAUGAAGUGUUAGCAUGUUAAAAUCUCAAACAAAUUCGAGUGUACAGAAUUAGUAGCAAUAUAUUCUCUCAGCAUGUUACACAAAAUAAUGUGUUCGAAUUCAAGCACAACAGAACAACUUUGAUUUUAAAUCCAGGCACACAAUAACAUACAUUUGUUAUUUUUUGGGCCCAACCGAAAAUCCCAAAAGGUUGAUUAUAACUCUACCACAUAAGGUUUUAAAAGCAAGUGAUUGGUAGCAAAUAUGAUUGAGAUAUAGAUUGUCUUGAGUUUGGAAUUGGCUGAGAAAACCAGUUUUCUCAUUAGUUCUUACCAAUGCUUUGAUUAUUGUUUGUGAUGGUUUAAUAUGAUAUCAUCUGACAGAAAGACAUCUUUUUCAGCUUGCUCGGUGCAAUUGCUGUAAUAUUUGGACUGUAUAUUGUGCUAUGGGGCAAAGCUAAAGAUCACAUGAUUAACAGCGAUGUAGAAAAGAAGCCAGAGGAGGAAAAAAUUAAUUAUACAAUCGUUGUCGAUGAAUCCACAGACAAAUUGAGUUGUAGAAUCGAUUUGGAAGAACCCCUUUUGCAUAAACAGACAAUAGAUCUCAAAGAUGAUCAGAAACAUUAGUAUUGAUGGGAAAAGUCUGUAUUUCUACAUAAAUGAGGUUCAAUAUUGUGAAGAAGACAGGACUCCUCUUCUAAGAAGAGAUUUUGUAAUUGCGCUUCCGGUUCUAGGCAUUCAUCAUUGGUGUUAUUAGCCUUUAUCCCCCCGGCAAGGGACAACUUGAUUUGAAAUUUCUAAUAAUCAUUUGAGAUAUUUGAUGGGAUCUAUAUACAAAGAGAAUUUCUUUUAGGGAUAACUUCAGAAACCUCAAGGGAGGUUUCUGACAAUUUCACUAAGCUCCUCUAAAGUUUGAAAAAUAAUACUUACCUUCCUUGAUUUGAUAGUUUUAGUAACAAAAUCUUAAAAUAAUAUUGACUUGGACAAUUUUUUAAAUGAAUACUCAAAAAUGCUCUUGUGGAAUGAGUUUUAAUUACUUCUCUACACAAUUAUGAGAUUAUUUAGUAUAAUUAUAAGGAAAAGGUGCCAAAUUUUUCAUGUCUAUAUUUACUAUUUGAUAAACAACUAUAAUAUAAUUUUAUUACUAUGAUAUGAUAUUUUUUAUGGCAUUUUAUUAUGAAUUUAAAUUUAUAAGAUAGAAAAGAAAAUGUUUAAAUAAUUCAUUUGGAGUUUAUAAAUUUUUGGAGUAGUGGUAUUAUCAUAAUUUAGUAGUACUUUUGGGCCAUUUCUUUUUGAUUUAUUGUUAAUUUUAAUACUAAAAACUAGAAAACGAAGAUCAGCAAAAACAUUGGAUUACAUAUAAAAUUACCUCGUCAAAAAAAUCACUAGUUCGACAUUUGGUUAUAGUAGAAACUUAGAGGCAUUAGUGGUAGUUCUACAAUUUUAUUGGCAAAAAAUUUUUAAAAAAAGGAAUAAAAAGGAAAAAGAAUGAAAAAAUAAUUUUAAAACUCAUUCUAAGUAUAAGCAUACCAAAUAAGAGAAUUUCUUUAAAAUAUUUAAGGGUAAAAUUGUCAUUUUAAAUGACAAAAAUGACAAGGGAGGUAUGUGUAAUUUUUCGAACCUUAGGGGAGCUCAGUGACAUUGUUAGAAACCUCAGGGGAGGUUUCUGAAAUUAUCCCUUUCUUUUACCAUGUACAAGUUAUUUUUCUCUUUCUUUCUUUCUUUUUUUUUUGGUUUUUUGGAGAGUCGAGUUGGUCGCUAGAAAAUUCACAAAAUAGUAUCAUCUCAAAAGCAUCAUGUAAAUUCAAAGUUUCUCUUCAAACUUUGUGGUUCAACCAAAUUAGUACAUUUUACAUGUGAAUUAUAUUAAUCAAACUUUCCGCAAAAUUAGGUAUUGACGAUUCAAGUGCCAAUCUCAGCAUAAUGAAGCAUGAACCAUACUAAACGCGCCAUUGUUAUUAACACAAAUUACUCUUGUCAUUCAACCACAGUUGUGCUCUUAUCAUGCUAGAAGUCUACUAAAUGACAUUUUCCAGCUCACUUCUACAUAAGAGCCAACCUCGUUUCUACGAAUGAUCAUGUUCGAUAAGGAUCAUUUCGAAAAGAUCCUGGUCUGACAAAGCCUUCCUGAGAUGAUUCAUUAUCAAUAUUUAUCAUUCAAUGAUGGAUGGCAAAUUGUUUUACUGGCUUACGUUGACCAAGAAACAACAAUUUUUGUCAUCUUUUGUAUAAAUCUUGUAAGUUCAUUUGUAUUGCAUCUGCACAUUAGUUGCUGACAAGAUACUUCAAAAAAAUUUGGUCAUUAUAUAGUUUAAUAAAUUUUGUACAAAGUGUGCCCACCCACAUGCAUGCUUGAAGCUUAUAUACAACAAAAUGUACUCCGACGUCAGUCUUCAUAUGGUCUAACUUUUUCGUAGAAUCUGCAAAAUUGCAAAUAUGGGUUUUGAAGAUCAAAAGCCUCUUAUUGUCAUGGUUAUGUUAGUUUCUCUAUGCAGGAAUCACUUCAUCACUAGAGCUUCCUUGUUACAGGGAACGAGUCCAAGGGUUUUCGCGGUCAGCUAUCUAUAGCCACUUUGCUUGUGGCCCUUGUGGCUCAUUUUAAACAGAGGCGUAUUUAUAGGAAUUUUAAAUCCUUUCUCCUCGUCUCAGAAUGUGAAACAUAAAUUAUGUACUGGAUCAAUUACACGAAAACCUAUAGCCUCUUUGGCUGUUGGGUGGUCAAGUUUCGACCCUUGUCUCCCAACACUUGUUACUAAUAAGUGGUUUCUACAAAUUCAAACGGGUGUGUAGUGCACCCGUCUGAUCCGAUAGUGAUUCAGUCCCCCUUGAUUCCCCCUAAUCUAGCUAGACCCUCCCUUAGAUAGGUUAUAGUGUAGGAGCAAGAGCAGUGUAGAAAGUGAUGAUUGACCCAAAAUAAAAAUUUACACAAAAUUUUUUUUUUUUUUUUUUUGGUUGGGGUUGCCCGGAGUAAGAUAAGUAGAUAUUCUUUAGGAUGGAAGAGGUUGAUAUUUUAAGGACAAAUUCCACUUUGCACCUUUGAACUUAUAUCACUUUCUCACUUUGUACUCUAAACUUCAAUUUUGAACACUUUACACCCUAAACUCUCAAUUUGAGACACUUUACAUGAUAAAUUCUUAAGUUCGUCAUAUUUAAAUCUAGUUAAUAACAACUUUUAAAAAAUUAACUGCAUAGAGGAUCUAACAAAUCAAUGAUAAUGUGCCAAAAGUAAUCAAAAGGUGCCAAGGUAUUAUAGCAAAAAUAAAACAAUACAUUAUCAUUAAUUUGUUUUAUUUUUUUCACUAUCAUUGAUUUGUAUCAUCUUUUAUCUCAUUAAUUUGCUAAUAAUAUUAAUAAUUGAGAUCAUAUAAAUAAAUGAUAAUGUGCUAAACAUGAGCAACAAAGCUAAGGAAUCGUAGUCGAAACAAAACAGGACAUUGUUGUUAAUUUUUAUCGCUCUUUAUCUCAUUAAUUUUGCGAAUAUAAUAGUUGAUUGGACUUAAAUGGAACAACUAUGAGAGUUUAGGGUGAAAAGUGUCCAAAAUUAAAAUUUAGGGCGCAAAGUGAGAAAGUGAUACAAGUUCAGAGGUGUAAAAUCAAAUUAAUCUUAUUUUUAAUAUCCCUCAUUUUGUAAGUUAUUCUCUUUUGAGUAUCUGUGUGUAUGUGGAAGCUAAACUAAUGUGAGUAUCCAAUUGAUUAAGUUUUUCCUCUAUACAUUCCUUGUGCAGAGUAACAUUUAACAAGAAUCUCAAUUUUAAGGGCCUAUAUACAUUUGGCCUCAUCUUCAAUAGCAAGUGCAAUGGUCAAUUUACUUCCUGCAACAACUUUUGCGGCGGCCUACAUUGUCGGGUAACUAUCAAGGAGAUUAAUGCAAAUUUAAAGAGGACUGAGUUUACAUUCAUCAUGAAAAAGUAAAUGAUUCUAUAUACAAUGGAUGAUCUCAUCCCUUUUACUUUUGAUUGCAUAAUUAUUAUGUUAUCUCAAAGCAACAGAAAUCUAUUAGCACAGUAACUUAUAUAAAUUCUUUUGAACUCUUUUUGUCUAUAAUUAUUUCUUAAAUUUCACUCGAAUACCGUACCUUAAUAUAUGUCAAUUACAGAUUAGAGAAAGUGAAUAUCCAAAGCUUCAGGAGUAUAGCCAAGAUCAUCGGAACAAUCAGCUCUGUUGCUGGAGCCAUAAGCAUGCCAUUACUAAAAGGGCCAAGAACUCUAAGCAUGGAGCUUCAGCUAAUGCAUUCGUUAUUCAAAAAGGGAGAUGAGAUAUGGUUGCUUGGUUGUUUCAUCCCCUUAGCAGGCACAAUUUGCCGGUCAGCUUGGCAACUUUUGCAGGUGAAACCACCCGAUAUUUCUCUAUUGGAAUCACACAAUUUGAGAAUCAGUUAACAGUAUAUCCAUAUUUGUGUUGCAUUUUCUCAACAGGUGCCGGUGUCCAAGAGCUAUCCCGAUCAUUUACCCGUAACAGCAUGCAAGGAUGUGCUUCAUGGUUGCCUUGCAAUCUGCAGCUGUCACGUUUUUCACUGAGAAAGAUUUCACAAGCUUGGAAAUUGCACUCACCUUUGGAAAUUGGAUGCCCUUUAUAUACUGUAAGUUUUGUACUUUAAUUUGAUAGUUUCCAUUUUACAACCAUUUUGUAUCGAAGAUAAAUUUGAAAGAGUUCAUCAAUAUUAUACCUGGCUGGAGCACCAGCUCAAUCUUGGUGCAUUUCGAAACGAGGUCCAAUUUUCUGUGCCAUGCCAUGUUUAAUCCCGUAAACAACGUAACUAUCACCAUGUUCCCUUGUACGUUCAUCCACAAAGAGAUUUACUUAGGAAGGUAUUACCUGCAUUGCAAAAAUUGAUUAAUACCUUUUAUUCCUUAAGACUCCAGUGUUCCGAUUUCUUUAUUCUUUGGAUGAUAAAUAAUUGGGAAAAUGAUCGGUUUCAUCCUUCACAUUUCACAAAAAUAUUUUUUUCGUCUCUCACUUUUAAAACGAAGCAAUUUCAUCCUUAACAUUUUAAAACUGAAGUUCUUACGUUCCUGAACCCAAAUUUCAAUCUGAAUCAAACCACCAAUCAACCUGAUUACAAAUUUUGGGAGUGUAAUUAGUAGAUCAUUUGGUUAACUCAACUUGAUAUUCAUGUAAAAUUUAAUGAACCAAAAAAGAAAAAAGAAAAAAUUAUAACAUAAAAAAGAAAGAUUAAUCUUUCCUACAUUAUCAUUGUAUACACUGACGGUUUUAUGAACCGCCAUAUCAUUUCAAUUUAAAUUUAAACACCAAAUUUUAUAUUUAUGAUACACAUCUAGAUUCGCAAGCGGAUAUACUAACGAUGUAUGAAAAGAUUUACCAAAAAAAAAAUCCCCACUAUUCCAAGACAAAGAAUGACCUUUUAUGUUAUAAUUUUUAUUUUUUUGGUUUAAUAAAUGUCAUGUGAAUAUGAUGAAAUUGACCGAGUGAUCUAUCAAUUCUAUUUCCGAAAUUUAUUACUGGGCUAUUGAAUGAUUUGAUUCAGAUUGAAAAUUAGGUUCAGGGAUGUAAUAGUUUUAAUUUUUAAAUGUCAGGGAUGAAUUUGCUUUAUUUUAAAAGUGAGAGACGAAGAGAAUAUUUUUGCGAAAUGUGAAAGAUGAAACAGGUCAUUUUCGCUAAAUAAUUUAUAUAUUUACUCAUAUUGAAUUUUGAAGCCCUUUAAAUUGAUAACUUAUCGGUUCCAUCGGCCUCGAGGAAUUUAUGGCCUCGUUUUCAUGUACCAAAGAAAUAUCUAAAACUAGCUUAUUUUCUAAUCUAAGACGCAACUUUACCACAAUAAGCUAGAAUUUCAUAAUUACGUAUUACUUUUCCAAACAGCUCUUGGAAAAUAUCUUAUACCGAUUUGCCCAAAAUAUCAGUUCCUAGUUUCAUCUGCUGACCAAGUCGAAUUUGAGUUGAAAAAUACUAUUGUUAGCUUGCGAGUCAGUUCGAACUCGAAUAUAUACAUAUAUAUAUAUAUAUAUUAUUUUUUAUUUUAAUAAUAAAAUAACAUAUAUAUCCCUAAUAUUUUAUUAUUUAUUAAGAAAAAUUAUUAUUUUAUUUAUUUAUUAAAAAUAAAAUAUCUAUUUUUUAUCUUUUUAAACUCGAACUCGAAUUUGAGUUUCGUAAAAUUAUGUUGAGCCUCGACUUGAUUAAGUCGAAGUUGUACUCCACGAGUCACCCCUAACUUGGCCUAUACAUUAUGGAGGAAAAGGAAUCUUAGAACAUUUCAAUUGAUUCUUUAUGAAAUUCUUGAGAUAUGUUCGUCAUGCCAAUAGCUGGAUGGAGGAGAAUUCCAAAGACUCGAGAGAAUUGGGAGCUGACUUUACAUUGGAACUUUUCAAUGCAAAUUUUCUGUUGAUUGUAUAGAAUAUAGUGAUUGUGAUCAGUUUUAUUUUCUUUGCUUAGUUGUAUAGAUUCCAGUACUAUGUGGUGACUGUGCAGGUGUCUAUAUUUAACUUUUAUUUUUCUUUGCAUAUUUCUCAAAGCUAAGUAAGUACUAAAUGAUUGUUUUGAGAUGAAACAGUAGAAGGGGAUGGUUGAAAGCCACAUUACACCAACAACAGCACUAACAAAAUUGAGCUACUCUACCAUUCAGUCUAGCCAGCUUUUGAAAUUAAAAAAAAAAAAAAAAAAAAGAAGUCAUCAUAAGAAAGGCCAAAUAUAUUGACUGGCAGGGAACAUUCAAUUGACUCUUGGGUGAUGGUAAUUACUUAUUUCCAUCAAAAAGCAAAAAUUACAUGUACGAUCCCAACCAACAAAACCCACCAACAAUGGUAGGUAUGGAGAGGAGUGAACGACGAAAACCCAGAGAUGAUGGGUCUUUACUCUUUACAGCUUUUCAUUGUUGGUCCUGCAAAUAAUUGGAGAGACAGAAAGGGACGUCGACUUCCAUUAACUCAAAAGGAUAAUUUGAAAUCUGACCCCAGUGUCCGGUGGGCUAUUGCAAAGUCUGGUGGUGAAAGAAGAAAAAAAAAAUCCUUCACCACACAAUUGGGGAUAAAAUCAAUAAGAUGAGAUAGAAGCAAAUGAAUGCAUAAUCAGACUCAGAAACCCAAGGACAAGUGCGAUGCAUCCUAAUCCACCUGACAACCUCAAUUGCCUAGCCCUUAAUAAUAUUUCUGCCACAUGGUAGAACUUUUGGAGUGAUCUGGAUUUUGGUCAAAUUGAAUUUAGCAUCUAAAUUAGGGCUGUCAACGGGCCGGGUCCGAGCCAGAAUUCAUUAUUCCGAACCCGGAUUCGAUCCGUUUACCCGAUGGGUCUUUUAUUCUAUGUUCCGGAUCCGGAUCCGGCAGGUCCCGGAUCCGGAUCGGGUUUACCCGAACAAAUUUAGCAAAAUUUAUAAUUUCUAAUAAAAAUGAGAAAAAAAUAUAUUUAUAAACUAAUUUCUAACUAAUGCAAAGAAAAAACCAAAUAAGAAAAGAAAUCAAAUUGACUUUACUCAAAUACAUCACCCUAAUCAAAUUAUAUUGAUAAAUAUAUAUUUUUUAAAUUAUUAAUUCAUUUAUAUCCGGAUCCGGGUCUAAUACAGGUCGGAAUACUAUAUUCCGUAUCCGACCCGUUUUUUUGUUUGACAAAACGAAUCCGAAUCCGGGAAACGGAAUUAAAUACCUACCUAUACCUGCAAUAAUUUCGCGAAUCCAGGUCUAGAUCCGACCUUUGACAGGCCUAAUCUAAAUCACAAUAGCGUAGACAAUUAACAAACUGCAUAGGACUCAAACUGGAGCCCGCCACAAAAGAAAUCAAAGCUUUAAGCAAAGAGAGGAAUAAGGGCAUAUCUAAAUCAAUGAUUGUUGGCCACUAUAAAAAAACAGUGAGGAGCAACUUACCCUUUUUUUGCAGGUAAUCAAGCAGAAAAAUUUUUUAUUUCUUAAUUAGAAGAAAAGCACCAGAAAACGUGGCAUUAAGAACAGGAAGUCUUUCCUGCAUUAAAGAGAGAAAGAAUGGACAAAAAUCCGACAAAUUUUGAAGGCCAAAACUUUAGAGAUCAAACUCAAGUACGCAGAGCAGAACCUGUUCAGAAGCAGAUCUGAAAAUGGCAGGGAAAUCUGCCAAUGUUUUUGUCAAAGACUGAAAAGUCUAUAUAGAAACUAAGCAUUAACGUAGGAAAUCAAUCAUCCAACAUGGUCUGAAUGAGCAAAAUCAAGCUAUACAUAGAAGCAACUAACAAAUAGGUAGGAAGUUGUAUUGCAUACAUUAUUAGAAAACCAGUUUCAAUCCAAACUCUAAUAUCUACUCAGAUAUGAGCUUGAUCGCUCAAGGGUAGCGCUUCCAUGCAUUAUCCUCCCUGUUGUUUCUGAAUGCGCAGCAUCCUAUAGAGUAUACUAUGAUGAGGAAGACCAGCACUAUAAUAUUCAGAAUGGCCUCCUUCUUCCAAUCACUCUUGAUAUUGUCCAGCAGACCAGCCUUGCAUGAUUGGCAGUUGUAGCAUAGAACUUUCUGAUCAUUACUCCAAGCCGUGCAGUCUGGAUUAGUAGACCCUGCUGUUCCUGUCCAGUUGGUUGGGGUGACAUAGGUGAAUUUGCACUCAUCUGGUGGCUUGCAGCAUCCAGACUGGCAAGAGUAAAUGAACAGAGAAUGAGAGAGACAACAUAAAAACGAUUUAACUGCAAAUGAACUAAUUUCAAUCUAGUCAUAUAUCUGUGAAGAACCUUUCCAAGACAUCGAGUUUAGGCACAGAAGCUGAAAAUUUUACAGAUUCUUUCACAGAAAUUUGAGGCGUGCAACUAGUACAUCAACCAGGAGACGAUUCUCAAAAUCACAAAAGGAACAUCUUAGUUUAUAACAACCUAGCAGUUCAACAAUGUGUCAAAUGUAUUAAAAACAUGCUUCCAAUUCAAAAAUGGAAAAUGCAAUCAAUCCAAAGCAGGACAAUUUAUGAUUUUACAGCAACAAGUUGAAUGCCAUUAUUCUCCUCUGGAGAUACUUGUUUGAACAUGUAUAAUAGCAAAACAAAAAUUGACAGAAUAAGCAAUAGGGUCAAGUAAAUUGAUAUAUCAUUAUUCUUAAAGGCACCACUUUAUGCACCACACCACUUUUUGCAACAAGAAAUAUAUACAAGCAGCAUCACCAAUCUGUCUCAGACAAAAAGCAGAACAUUUUAAGUCGAGAUUCUAGUCAAGUCUCUCAACUUUAGGAAACUACUCAAUAACCAUCAUUCAAAUAUAACAGAUCCAUGGCAGUUAGUGAUUCCAAGUGAAGAUCAAUACCCUUUCUCAAGAAACUUAAAAAAGUAAAAUUACUAUACCAACAAGAACAAACUACUGACACACAGUCCCAGCCCCUAAAGAUAUCUUCCAAUUGAGUAUCCAGAUCUAGAGCGAGGCAGCAAAAACAGAAAACCCCUUCUCCCCUCAAGUGAAAAACUCAAGUUUUAGCUCAAAAAGAAAAAAGAAUGACAACCAUGCAGGUAUGGAGAGCAACAAAAGAUGCAAUACUUAUGAAUCUGUACAUACCUGAAGAGCAGAAAGCGUUUCCUUGUUAAAUUGUCCUAAAGGAGUGGCACCUUGUUCAAUCAGGUGCUUGCAGAUCUGUGAGUCCUGAAGACAACUUCUAAUCCUGGGCCAAUUUUUGUUCACCCUUUUCUGCAACCAAGUGUUGUAAUCCCCAAGCCUGUACUCCUUAUACCCCUUACCUGCAAGGGCCUCACCAGCACCUUUAUUUGUAACCACAAACGCAAAGAUUGUGAAGCAAAAGAGGAGCACAAUCAACAGAAACAUGACCAAAAGGUACACCCAAAGAAGCCAUGAAACUCUGCAACAUGAUCCAAUGAGUCCUGCCAAUGAAACCAACAGCAGAAACGCCCCCAAUACUAUCACUGGCUUUUCAAGAAAACGUUCACAUUCAGUAUUGGACUGCUUUGCUAGCCAAAUCCCACCUGCAAUUAUUGGGAUUGACAACAACAGCGUCAGAAAAUUCAGUAUCCCAAGCAAACUGUUGCUGCAACGUGGCAUUUUCUCUGGUAUUCUUGAAAACGAACCAAAAAUAUCAGUAACUUCUCAAGAAGCCAAGAAGCAAAAGGGGUGAUUAAACUCCAAUAGUUAUGUGCUUCUUAAUGGUGAACGAACCUAGUUAACGGUGAACAGUUUUACCAGUUUUAUAGUAGGAUCCGAUGGAAAAUUGAUCUGGGUUGGAGCUAAGAAAGCGAGAAUCUGGAAAAUAAAAAGGAAGAUAUGAUGAAUGGAACAAAGGGUAAGGGUGGUUAUAUAAUACUGGUGAAGACGGGCCGUUUAAUUGCAUUCUUAGUCCUCUAAGUUAUCAUUCUAGCCCAUGUAUCACGCAGUACCCUAUUGCGUGUAAUAGAUUCAUUAGCAUUCAUUUUACUAUAUAUAUGAUGAUUGAAUUAACUAAGAUUUAAUUUCACAUAAAUUUAUGUCAUCUUUCAUAAAUUGAUUCUAAUUUUUACUUUUUGUUUGCAUAUUUUUUUGUUUGUAGAGUCAAAGAACAUUUUGUGUAAAUUAUUAGUAGUACAACUUUUUGUUUGGUCAAAAGAAUUUAGAUGGAUUAGUCUUGACUCAAAUGGAGUAUCUAUAUUAGCAGGAGCGAAUGAUCAAUUGUGAUUAAUUAUUAUGCAAUCUACACAAGCAUAUAUAUAUAUAUAUAUAUAUGUUCACAAUCAAUAAAAAAAUUAAUCCAAUUUAGAUGCUUACACAUAUUUAAGAGUAGGAAGGAAGGAAGUGGUAUGGUAUCUCUCUAAUUCAAAGCUGAAAGAUGUAGUCCCCUGUGUUUCAAUAGCUACAAUUGUUUGUAGGUUUAAAUUGACAAAAAUGGAGAAGAUGAGAGACUAAGGUAAGAAAACCCAAAAUGUUGGGGUCCCAAAAUCUGUAUGGGGAAAUGUGAAACUCGUGGAGGUUGAGCUGGUCUGGAAUUUGCUAAGGAGUUUCGGAGACGUGUGGCCGUUUCCGAAAAAAUUUCAGCGUCAAGCGAUAAGCCCAGUGCGCCACGUGUGACACGUCGUACUCGCCGUGUGAAUUAAUUGGACAAUCGCAACAAGGAAUCGAAACGGAUGGGAAAGCGUGGGACCAGACUAGCAAUGCCAAAAAGUGUUUUUCUUUUUCUUUAUCUUUUUUGAGCCCAUUAGAAGCCAAAAAUGUAACAAUAAAAAGUUUUGACGCUAUGGUAGACUUGAUCGUUUUGGCUAGUAACUUAUCUUGAAGGAUGAUGUGACUUUUGAUCAAGAACAGGAACAUUAGAAGAUUUCCAAAAUCUUUAAUUUUAAAUGUCCCUCCCCUUUUACCCCAACCAUUAUUGUCUCGAUGGAAGAUGAUUGAAAAAUACUCUUGUUACGAGUGUUUGGAUUAAAAAAAAGAAGAAGAAGAAGUCUUUAUGAUGUGAUGUAUUUUAUGAUUAAAAAAUGGUUAGAAAGAUUUUUUUUUAGAAAAAAAAAAAAGAAAAACAAUGUUUAUUAUGCAUAGGAUUGAAAAAUAAACCAAAUUACAUGAUAUUUGAAUCAAAUUUGACUUAUUAAGAACUCAUUCAAAUUUGGAUCGCCAACUAGUCAAGUUAAGAUUGAACAGCAUUUUAUAUUCGCCAACAUUUAAAUUCGAUAAAAAAAUUAGUUCAAACUCGAUUUGGCAAAAUAAAUAAGUCAAAUUUGCAUAAAAUUUUAAAUUCAUUAAAAUAAUCAAACAAACUUGAAUACUAGGGUGUUCAGUUUGAUUAGACUAGUUUACACCCCUAAUUAUGCAUGUGAAAAAAAUCUUUUUUUUUUUUUUUGCAAAAAAAGAAUAUAUCCAAAAUCUUCUGGUCACUUAAUCUUUGAGACUAAUAUUCAAUGCUGACUGACUCAAUGCAAUUUAUGAUACAAAUUCAAAUAUCCACUUCAUUUUUUUUUUAAAAAAAGGAGUCUUUAUACUUUAAUUGCCUAAUACCUUCUUGAUUGGAUUAAUUUUGGUCUCACUUAGAUUGCAAUUUUUAAAAUUUUUGAAGAAAAAAAAAUAUAUAUAUAUUCUAACAUUGUGAUGUACGAGAUAAAAAGGUAAUUUAAAAUUAUGUCAAACAAAUAUUCCUAGUCAUUGGAAGUUGAUUUUAAAUAGGAGAGAUUCUACAAGAUCACACACACAAGUUAAAUUUAGCAUUAAAUGUGAAAUAAGUGAUGUUAAAUUUCUAUAAUUUCACAACUUUAAAAUUUCAACUGCUAUUAUCAUUAAGGAAUAGAAAUUGAAGAAAUGGUUCCACGAAGGGACCAUACAAUUUCCCAAAGAUUAGUAUCAAAGUAGGUCCUCCAAAAGAAAGAAAAAGAAAUUGUUUAAAGAAGAAAUAAUUGUUUGUAGCCAUAUAUAUAUAUAUAUUUUUUCUUGUUUUUCUCCUAUUUGAGAAAUUGGACGCCGACUUAUAACUUGAAAUCAGGCGAGUCCCGCGCGCCGUGUCCAUCGUUUAGUAAUAAGUACUAUAAUAAAUGAGUAUGAUGAGCUUACUUGGAAUAUUCCAAAGGCAGAGGCAGAGGAUGAUAGUUACUUAAAGCCAAUCAACUCUCUUUCGUCCGUUUGUUUACUCAAAUUCCUUAUCACACGUUAAGAGGCUUCUUUAUAGUCUCGGGGAGUUAGCUUCACAAUCUUGCUGCCAUCCAAACCUUUUGCCCCUUUUUUUUAUUUGUAAAUCUGUUCUCGGAAUUUUCGUACCAACCCUUUCUUUCUUUCUUGGAGCAUUGAGCAGAUACACCAAAAAGAGUGAGUUGUAAGUAAGUAAUGGUUGAAUUGACCAACACAUGUCGCUUUUGCUUAAACCUGAACCAUCAAUAACGCGUAAUUUAAACCAAACUUUUUAAUACUAAUAAUAAUAAUAGACUGAGCCCUUCUUCAUUUUUAGUCCAUUUUAAGAAAUAUUUUAAUACUUAGCUUCAUAAAUCCUCAACUAAUGUAAAUCAAUAUAAGCAUCAUGGACCGAUUCAAAGGAAGAUAGGAAAUUUCCCUUUUUAUUUUUAUUAUUAUUAUUUCCUCAAAUUGGUUGACGGAUAUAAGAAUUACUAAAUAAUAUUUUAUUGUUCAUUAUGUGUGUCAGACGUUUUAGCCAAUUAAAAAGGCAUAAGUUAUUUAUUAUCCCUAAUUUUGGGGUCAACAAUCAAAAAAAAAAUAAAUAAAUAAAUAUAUAUAUAUAUAUAUAUAUAUGUGUGUGUGUGUGUGUGAUUGCACUUUGUUUGUACUGAAUAUAAUAAUUGCAGCAACGGUUACGUGUUUUUUAUGAAUGAAUCAGUACUUGCAACACAAGCACGCUUCUCAAGUUUACAGUUGUUGUACAUUGGAAAUAAAUACACUACCUUAUUGAUCCAUAACGCUGAAACAAAAACCCACAGAUCAGCAUCAGACAAAAGACCAUGCAAAACUCAGCUCCCAAUGCAGAGACAUGAAGACCUAAAGCAGUUUCAAAAUCAAAGGGGCCCUGGGAAAGUCCCAUUCUCCCUCUGCUCGUUCCAUCUCUCAACCUGUAGAAAUGUAGCAGAAACUAGUUAGAAUGCAUUCAAAACUAUGGUAAAAUGGUAGAAUGUUAUCAUCCUAUUGCAUAUGGUAAAAUAGUAGUCAAAGACGUUUAUAUAAUAUAAUAAACAUAAAAAGUGGGAACGCUGGAAAGCCAAUAAAAGAUUUGGUGUUGUACCACUUGGUAAUUCAAAAAGGCCAUCCCCAUCAGCCAUUUAAUAUAUCUCCCUCAAACAACUAGAGGUUUUCCAUACGCCAUUACUAGAGGUGUCAAGAAGAUAAAACGGGCUGCACAGAAAUUCACAUGAGAGUUGCAAGCAACUUCAAGCUCACAAUCCAAAACUUACUCCGAAAGGAACUAAAACAGAUAGUCAAACAUAAAAGAAAAACCAUAGCUGUUUUUGUUAAUAACGAUUAAGUUUUAACUAUGAUGUCAUGUCACCACCCAAUUCCCGUGUAACAUAAAGGAGCAAUAGUUUCCAAUUGCAAUGCCAUCUCAAGCAGAAUCACACAUGAAAUGGGACUUUUUAUGAGGACAACAGUGCUCAUAUCUGACCUUUUGAAGAGGACUGCUGUCCCCCAAGCCUAUGACAAUCAAUACCAACAUUCAACAGGUAAAAGCAAUUCUACAUAUAUAUAUAUAUAUAUAUAUAUACUUACUUACCCAUUCACCAGGACAGAGGGACCUAUAGUACUUGGCAAAUUUUUCACAUUCUCCAGAAUCAUCACCCUUGGCAGCCAAGCACCUGAAAUCCAAAAAAGUGUUGAAUCUGUGUAAACCAAAUCAUUAUGAUAGACCAACAAAAGCUUUACUGUGCUCUAAAGAGAAAACCAGGCAAGAGUAAAACCUAUAUCAAUUACAUAUUCAACCGAUAGAAAAUCAUCUUGAGUACCAAGAUAAAUAUUUCUGUACUCACUCUUUUCUUUUUCCCCCCCAAACAUCAAACCCUAUUCAUGAGCUUCUAGAUUUAAAAUGUUAGGGAGUAGUAAUCUAGUCAAGUAAAAAUAUUUUAACUUAAUCAGGCACUUUCAAAAGAUAUUUGCCUAAAGGUUUCAGCCUACACCUUCUUAACAAACACAAAACUAACUUAAGAUUUCUCUUUCAACAACUGAGGGCUAGAAUCAAAACUACACAUUACAAUACUUAUAAGAACAAUCAACUGGCUUAAGAUGAGUACCAAGUUAUGAUGCGAUUUCUGUUUGCCACCUUUAAUCUAACAAAAAAAAAAAAAAAAAUCACCCAUGCAUUUGAAAAAAACUUCUACCAUUGCCGAAUUUUGAAUUUGGCUAACUAAACCAACAUAGGGGCAUUAAUACCGUCUCAAGACACCUAAAAUGCAAGAUAAGUUCAUCAAUCAAAACUACGUAAGUUCAAUGGUUUUACCGGAGUUGUUCCAUGACACAGAAAAAAAAUUGGUUUCUAUGACACACUAUUAAGCAAUCAACAGCCACUCAUAUGUAACAAAGUCCAAUGACCAGAAAAGCCUUAUGCAGCCACAACUGACAGAGCAUGUCCUUUUAAGAUAAUUGGUUUUAUGGCAUAUUAUUCAACAACCACUGGUGUGUAACUAGUCCAAUACCCAGAGAUGCCUCAUGCAGCCAAAACUGAUAGACCAUUACCUGUGGAACUCAAUGUAGCGUGUGAAACAGUGUCUAGUUUGAUUAGUUGUUGGGAAUCGGAAGUCAGCUGGUGCAGUCUUCAGUUCAAUCUGACAAUAUUAGCAUACAAAUAUUACUAAGAAGAGUGUAAGACAACUGUUCAACACUAAAUUGCGUCUUCCGCUUUCUCAUCAUAAAUCACACACUUAAUUCACUACAUAAAAUGAAAAGGAAAACUAUCAAAAGUUCAGAGAAGCAAACAUUGUCACUUUAGAAAAAAGGUGAACAAGAAAAGUAUUUUAACAAGUUACUUAAUAGUUAAAAUAUUGAAUAAGCAUGUUUCCACUUAAGACGGCGUUCUCCUCCAUCAUGCUUAGAUUUCAUUGUAAUAUUUCCCAAGACAUCAUAUCCUACCAGAAUUCCAAUAGUUUCGAGGCAGGAGACAUCCACAGCAAGAAUACAUAGUUUUGACCCGAUUGUAAUUAUGAGCUAAAUCAUGCUUUGCAUGCUAAGAAGCUCUAGCCUAGGCACAGAUAAAACAUCUUUUCUCAGAAUUAAAAUUUCAACACAUCAUAAUCAUGAGAUAGAAGACAUUAAGCGUGUUCAGAACUAAGGCUUUCAACAAAACUGGAUGCACUUCCAUGCUUUUUUGAAUAAGAAUGUCCAAUUGAUAAAGAAAGAAUUUUUUGAACAGGCAACUUUCAAAGAAUGAAUCAAUAAAAUCACAACCUCAAGAAAACCUAAUUCCUGCAUAUGACAGUUCUAUUCUGAAAUCAAAAAGAAGGAAAAAAAAUUCACUCUUGAGGCUAAAGGACAGGCCCUCAGGCAUUAAAGGUCAGACGAAAGAAAAAUUGUUUGUGUCUAUUGUGGCAAAUGAAAAAUACUUUAGCAGCAGACCUCACACACUCUGACAUGAGAUAAGCACCUCACACACUGUGAAAUGAGAUACUAUUUGGCCCAAAGGACUAGAAAUAAAAGUGCAUUUACACAAAGGGCCAGCUAUGGCUCCCUUUAGCUGUCAACAAGACUAGAUAAAGAAAACAUUUUACAAUUGAGUCAAGAAAAGUAAACCACAAUUUACGUUCUCUUUCUAUAAACAACUAUUUGGCUAAAAAAAAUUAACAAAUAUAAACCACAACCAACAUGCUCUAUGAUGAGCAACCAUUUGGCCAAAUAAUUAAUAAGUAGACCAUCUGGAAAUGAAUAAAGCCUAGGUAUCGGAACCAGUAACUUAAAAGAGCAGGCAAGGAUAUAGAGAUCCCCAGAGUAAUAUUCCAAGAAGGUAGAUUUCUUCUCUCAGUCUGUACUAAAGAAGAAAGUCUACUUCAAUCCUUAUAUCACCAUGAAAAGAGAAGGGGGAGUCAACACCAAACUAUGUCACCUUAUAGGGAUUUUAGGCUGGAUUUUGAAUUUUAAUCUGCUUAGUAUCCUCAUAGUCAUGAGAGAACUUAAACUAUGAAAGCUCUUGCUUGGCUAUUGGAGAAAGUGGGAAAGAAGGCAUUCUGUCUCUUGGUAUGGAACCCCACAUUCACCUGUAAUCUGAAACAUUUUCAAGUAUGACAAUUAAAAUACAGAGCUUUGAGAGCAUAGAGAACCAAUAUGGGAUUAGCUACAACAACCCAAUUUUCCAUCAGCAUUAGGAGUACACAAUUCUUCCCUUCAUGUAUGGAUACUCAUAAGAAAAUCUUCCUGACUUGAUAUAUUAUACAGAUGGAACAUUGGGGGCACCCGUGGAUGGGGUUUUCUUGUUUUUUUCGUUGGGGGGGAGCACAAAGAAAAGAAGGAAAGAAAUAUUAAAAAGUUUACAAAGAGAAAGAAGGAAAACAAGUCUUUUAGUAAUUUCCCAUAUCAUAUCUCAAAUUCCAAACAUCCACGUAGCAGGACAUUUCCCUUUCCUCAAUAAAUUUACUAUCAAAGGAAACCCAAACUAAAUAAAGGCACAAACUUUUCUCUAAGAAAAACAUAAAAGCAAAUGUGCACAACAUCCAACUAACUCUAUGGUUUUGUUAUAAAAACAACUCCAUCAUCCUUUCAUACAGCUGCUUGCUUUCAACAAGAGUCCGUUCAGAUUUGAUAGCAAUGUAUUUCUUUACAAAUACUUUGCUUUUAGGCCUCACUAGGUUUAAACUUUUCAGAAAAGCUAUACCAACAAUCACUUUUUAAUACCUCUCAAUAUCAGCAAAAUUCAGUACAUUUCACGUUAAAAGAAAGCACUGCACCUUUUCUGAAGCUGUCUAUUUAUACUUCCCCUACAAUCAUUGGAAAUUUAUUCUACCAUGAAAUUAAACCCCUAGCACUCCAAAAUGGUUCUUGACAACAAGAAAUUUGGGCUCAUCUCUCACCAAGGCUUGACAAGGCACAAUAUGGCAAUCCAAUCCCAAAAAUUCCAACUUUCUCGAAAAAACUAAAUAAAAAUCCACUGCUUGACGUAAUACUGGAUAUUGAAAGAUAACACUUCAACAAGAACAUCUACUGAAUAUCUUUCCAACAAGAAGCUGAAAACCCACGAUCAUAUAUUGCAUAAAAGCUAACAUCUUGUUGAAAUUCCUAACCACACCCAUCUUAGAAGCAACUAUACCAUAGCUGCAACUUUGCCCCCUGGUAGGCAUGAAUGCCAACCAUCAUUUGCUUUUCCUCUUUAAUUCUGAACCAUAUAAGUUCUAUAACUAGAUUCAAAACCAAUUUCUUCUGUGUUAAAACUGAAUGCCAACACCGCACUCUUUUAGUUCCCAAUUUAAAAUACCCAUUAACCAAUGCCUUUUACUGAUUAAUUCAACCAUAAAUCUCCAUAAAAUCAUUCAUUUCUUGGAUCUCUUGCACAUUGUUUUAUACUAGCUUUUCACCCCGAAUUUCCUUCACACUUAAACCAUAUUUUCACAAUGUUCUGCCAAUAAAAUACAUGCAAAGAUAACAGAAAAUACAUUGACUGAGUGGGAUAUAUAUACAUAACCACGUUGUAUGAGUCCAUUGUGUACAGAACCGGCAAUUGAAUCAAAUCAUUAACAGAUCACAUAAAAAGGAUAAUGUACAUAAUCUCAUCAGCAAUCAAUUAAGACGAAAUUGAAACCACAAUAAAACAAAGGUAGAAAAUCAUAGACUAAAAUCCCUUAAAAAUUAAUGGAUUAAUUUCAUUAAUUUCAGUUUACCUCAGCCAUUUGACGAGACGGGAUCGAUCGAAAAUGAUGUGAAAAUGAGACAGAGCACUUUCUUCUGGUCGGCGGGAGAGAGUGUUGGAAACUAAAAUUGUUCACGUUUUGUUUCAGUGAUUAGUAGUUGUAGAAUUAGCUUAGAUUAGUUUGCAACCCUUAAUAUUUUCUUAGUUUUUACUGUUCACCCUUCACCUUUUAGUUUUUGACACAUAGCCCCCAACUGUCUUACAAAAGCUCUGGUAAAAAUUUUUUUUUUUUUCCCAAAAUAAGAUUACAUAUACCUUACAACUGCAAGAUCAGUACAACAAAUUAGUUGUCAUUUAAUUUAGAGAAAUGCCAAACUAGAAAUAGAGCAAUCUCAUAAUUAACUUGUAUACAACUUAUACACUUAAUUUAAUUUAAUGGAAAAGGCAUUCUUCAUGCGUUUGUUCAAGAAAAGUAAAUCAUUAGGGAAAAGAGCAAAAAGAAAAUGAGAAGGCAAAGGUGAUUUAUGCAUUAUUCCUUGGUUGGCAGUUUUUUUUUUUUUUUAAGUCACAAGUAUAUAAGUAGAAUUUUCAAAACUAUGACAAACGGGUCAUAUUGAAUCUCUUGCUCCCAAUUUAUGCAUAGGAAAAUAGUUCUUGAAAUACAGUUAGCUCCAAAUAUAGUAGGGACUAAUGAGCGCUGAUUUUAAAUGUAAGGGAAUAAGUGGUUAAGAAAAAUUAAGACUACGCGUGGGUAAAAAUUGAAGAUAUAUUAGAAGUAUCAACCAAACGUGUUUAUUUUGCAUGUUGGAGAUACACAACUCUAGACUUUUUAGCCAAUUUCCUAAUGUGUGGAUUUUUUGGUAUGAAGUUAUAAGGAUGGGAAAAUUUGGAGAUUAGUUAUUGUUUUUGAUAAUUGAUGAACAACAAAAAGGUAAAAGAGUGAUAAACCACAUAAAUAUGAGGAAAUUAUAAUGGUAAACGCAAAAUUAGGAGGAAAACUUAUAAUUCAGCUUUCUCUGAUCAAUUAACUGUCUAUUUUAGGUAGCAUAUCUUUUAUUCUUGCUCCCACAAAAAAAAAAAUUUUUUGUUGUAGAAUAGCUCUAAUUCUCAUUACUUAAAUCUUGCCAAAUCCCUAUAACACAUAUAUUUAAAAUAUCAUACCUCUAUACUUUUUCUCAUAAGUUGUAAUGAUAUACCUCUUCGAGUAUUCCUAUCUUCCACAUGUUUAGGUGAAAUUUCUCUGAUAGGCUUCGGCUUUCCCCGUUUAAUAGGUCUCCAUAUUUAAGAGGAAGUUUGGGUUUUAUGUUGUUAGAAUUUCAAUUUUUGCUAUUCAUUCUCUUAAAAGAACUUAAAUAACCUAUUAACGAUAAUUUUUAAUGCUUUUAGUUUACAAGAAGAUGAUAGCUAACAAGUAGCAGCAUGUUCUUCAACUAAUGAUCAAAUUACGAGACAGUGAUACUUUAUUACAAGGUACUACUACAUAAGUAGAUGUGUUAUUGCUGUUUCUAAAAAUUGAUAUGGAGUUCAGGUUAGUGAAACCCUGUACGUCUGUCCACCGAUGCAAAAGUUCAAAGGUGUCUCUAAACCAGAGUUUUCUUUUGUACACUCUCUCUUUUUUCUUCUGAUCAAUAAAAGCAUGAAAGUUUACGUGUAAAAAAAAAGUUUUUAUUACAUGUCAAAUAUCUUUAUGAUGAGUAAACCCGACAUGCUUAUUUACUCAUCCCCAAACUACCAAUCCUAAAAUGUCUCAACCCCCGAAAAAUUGCAGUUGAAUUCGCAUCACCUAAAAAAUAGUAGACAGCCUCUUUCGUGCACGUUGACUGACUAAGUAAAAUGCUAAAAGAGAGAGAAAAGGAAGAAAUGUUCAACAGAGUCCAGUAAUAAUACUUCAUAAAACCACUUUCAUUGAUUUGUAAACCAUCUUGGAAAGACCAUUGUUGUUCCAUACUGCAUAUUUGCUCAUGGCUGAGAAUUCUGCUCCCCCAGAAGAAGUUGUAGUGCCUGUUCCAGAAGAAAAAAAUGAAGCCAAAGAAAAAGAAGUCGCAGUGACUAUUCCUGAAGCAAAAAAUGAAGCCGAAGAAAAAGAAGUUGCAGUGCUUAUUUCUGAAGCAAAAAAUGAAGCCAAAGAAAAAGAAGCUAAAGAAAUCCCUGAUGAUACUACCACCACUGCUGCUGCUGCCACUACUAAUACUAGUGUGGCAGCUAAAACAGAUAAAAUGAAGAUUAUUGUGCUUUCAUUAACCGUACUUUCAUUUCUUCUUUCCUUCCCAAUCCUCUUUUCAAUCGCUUGGUUGCUAUACUUGAGACAAUAUGACUGUGAAAACCUUCUUGACUUGCCAAAGUUACAACUUGUGAUUGUCAUUGGUCUAGCAAUUGUCUUCUUUGUGAGCAACUUUGUAGUGAAAUUUGGAAGCCGGUUUCCUAUGCUUGGACUUCUCUUAGUUGUGGUGCCACUGAUUUUGAUGCUGAUUGUUGGUCUUGGACUUGAGGGUGCUUUUGACAUGGAAGCUCGUACCAUACCCGGUACUCCUAGAUGGCUUGAGUUCAGGGUGGAUAAUGACUACAAUUGGAAGGAUAUCAAAUCCUGCUUGUAUGCUACAACGACAUGUAGAGAGUUGGCGUUAAGGUCUUAUACCACCAAAUCCUUUGACUUCACAGCAAGCAAAUUAUCAUCGAUUGAGGUACUAAGCUAAUAAAAAUGUCACAUGAAAUAGUAUACGUGUGCUUGAGUAGACAUUACAGACAAAGAAUUUUUUUGCUGGUCGAAUAUAUAUAUAGGUAUAUGUAAAAUAUAAAUCACUAGUUUUGCAUAUGGCAUAUCCUAAAAACAUGUUGAAUGCUAUUGGCUUAGUAUUGGCUUAGUAUUCUACAUUAGCAGAAUACUUCUUUUUCAAUGGUUCAUACACAUGUUAUUAGGCAGUGUUUGAUACUUUAAUUCAACCAACAACUUAAAAAAAAAAAAAAUUAUGAUCGAAUUUUUUUCAAUAAAUAGUGUGCUUAGUUUGAGUGAUUUGUGUUUUCUUUGGUCAUAUCACUUCUACAAUUGCACCUCUAUUUACAUUUUACAUUUACUCACUGGACUAUUUUUUACAUUGGCGCAAUUGUCUAGUCUGGUUGUUGUCUGCCGCCAACAAGCUGUGGAAUGGAAUACGUGAAUGCCACAUUCUGGAGGAAAGAAGAUUCAACACUGGAUUCGUCUAACCCAUUGGAAAGGGAUUGUGAUCUAUGGAAGAAUGAUGAAACCAUUUUGUGCUACAACUGCCAAGCCUGUAAAGAUGGAUUUCUCAAACCAUUACUUGGUAAAUGGCAGAACAUUGGGACCUUCCUCAUUGUCAUGGCUGCUCUGCUUUCAGCCUCGCAUCUGUUGCUUUUUAUUUCUACAAUGUUGGAGCAACUUCGAGGAUACCAUAAAAGCAAAUUAAUCGCACUUUCAUUUUAACUGACUAAGAGUUAUUAGAUGAGGUUUUGGAUUUGCAAGCUAUUUCAUCCUUUGUUCUUGACUUUGUUGUACGUCUUUUUCGUGUAUAAUCGGGAACAUCUUUGAUGCUAUGGUCAUCCUCUGACAAAAGCAGAAGUUACCAUUUUUUUCAUGCUAUCAAGCUCUUCUUUGAUUGUCAUAUGGGCAAAAGUAUGUUUUGGUUUAUAUACCACGAAUUUUUAAGGAGUAGUAAGUUGUCAUUUCUGGAACUCCAAAAUCUUGGUUUCAUCAGGCAAAUCACACUGACUAAUUAGGAGUGGUCAGUUAUAAAACCUCCACCAUUAGGUGCCAAUGCGACAAAUUUGUUUUAUCAUACACAAGCCAAUUAUCCUUAUUAAGCUUUACCAAAACCAAAACUCUCCACCUCCCAUCCUGAAUUCAUGCACGGUGCAGACUAGGAUGAAACAAGAUGCAAGGAAAACCACAGGAUUGAAGAGACUGCAUCUCUUCUGAGUAUUCAAUGACAUGAAUAUCAGCAUCCAUGGGCGUCUCUUGAUUGAUAAGCACUUUCUUCAAGGUGAUUAAUAUAUUCCUUGCUAUUUUCCAAUCCCAAACCUUAUUAUGCCCCAACCUAACUCCAAGAGAGGGAGACCAAGCGGGAGAAUAGAAGGGAGGAGACAUAAGUCAAAAUAAACUACACAAACAUAUCUGGACUGCAAAAGGACAAUAAAAGAGGAAAGCUAUAUUAUACAGAAGCUAACAACAUGCUACAAUUCUUGUAGUAAAAUUUGGCUAAAGCCAUGAAACAGGUUACGAUAACUUACAAGGAAUUCUCAGAGCUAACGAGUACAAGCCUACAAGCUAGUAUUUGGUAAAUCAUCAACACAAGAUUCUACUAAGUUGCAUACGAAGGGACCCCAGGAUCCAGUUUUGGCUGAUACAUUCACCUCCGAGCAUGCGAGGCAUCAUAUGUUCCCGUCCAUGAAGGAUUCCCAGCAGCACCAGUAACAGCUCCUGCUACAGCUCCAACUCCAUCAGGAGCACCUGCAGUGAUGGAACCACCAUACGGGAUCAUUCCCGGGGAUAUAGGCCCAGCACCCAUCGGAACAGCAGGUCUUCCAUAAUUAUCAACAUAUCCACCACUACCAUGUACAGCAGGUGGGUAGAAUGUAUGUGGAUUGAUGUUGGGUCCACCAUACGUGUAGGGAGCUACACAGACAGCAAGCAUUAUUGCCUAAAGGGAUCACAUUGGAACUUGAGAAAAUAAUAACUUGAGAGGAUUUCAAAAAACAAACUUGCUACCAUGUGCUCUCUUCUCGACACUGAACACCUCGGCACGCAAUCUUUCCAGUUCUCCAUGCAUGCCCACCAUUUCCUUCUCCAUGAUUCGCAUUUUUUCCACUUUUGCUAUGUUUAAACCUUUUUCGUACUCAAAUGUCAUUCUUUUGCCCCAAAAGAAAGAAAUUUGAAUUAAAUGCUUGCACUAAUAUCAGUUAAUGGGUGAUACCGACCAGAAUAAGAAAGCCCAAUAUGUAGUAAUCAGAAGCAACAUUACUUUCCUGUUCACCAGAAAAUUAUUUAUAAAACACACACAUAUCAAGCGCAAAGCAACAGUUUCCAAAUCUAAAAAGAGAUGCAGGGUGAAAAGCACAAGUGAUUGUUUCCACACUUUUCCUGUUACUAACAAGGAUAAAUCACGUUUCGAACUGAAAUUAAGCUUUACCACAAAACAUAGCAUCAAGGAUUUCUUAGUCCAUAACACGUAAAGAAAAGCUCAGAAGUGAAUGUUUCAUCUCAUCAAAAAGAUGAUAUUAAAACAAUAUGAACAGUUGACUCCACUCACCGUAACCUUUGAUGUUCUUUCCUUAAACUAUCGAGUUCAGUAUUCAUUUCCGGUAAUUUUUUGACAUCAGCACGGGCUUUCUCCAGCUCCUGACUGGCCUUUUGUAUUUGAGCAGUCAGCUCUUUUCUAGCUAAUGCCAGGCUCCGUGCCUCAGAAUGUGCUUGCUGCAAGUCCUUCUUUACACUCUCACCAGCUCUGAUGUCAACUUCCAUUUUUGCUAUCUUUUCCAAUAAUACACGAAUCUGGAUAUCACUCUCAGUCUGCAUGCUUCUAAUAUGAUCUGCAAGCUUCUGCAUUUCUUGCUGAGCAGCAACAAGAUCCUGCCUCAAAGCCCCAUGGGAGGCUGCCAACCUAUGAUUAUCCACAGCAAGCUGCUCAAUUUCCGCUGCCUGAACAGCCAAUCUACUAUCUAAAAGCUCAGGAGGAGGAAGUGGUUCCAUCGGACGAUGGCCAGCAGGCAAUGCACCAUGAUGAAUGAAAGCAGGACCUGGUACAGAACGUCCUUCAUGUGCUGAUGGUAUGUGUUUUCUCGAAGUCAUUGGAUUAAAAAAAAGCCUCCUCAAGUAAGGGAGGCAAAGUAUAACUUUCUCCCCGAGACUAUGUAGGAUAAAUUACCUGCAAUAUCUUUAGAAGAUGAACAAUAAGAAAAAGUAAGAAUCUCUUCCAGGUUCCAUCUAGAGAGAGAAACACUUAAAGAUGUACCCAAAAAGCAAGAAGCAGAUACAGGAGAGUACAAAUUAUUCAGCUAUUCGAACAUGCAUCAUAGGACAAAGUGCACUUGAACUCAUGGAGAAUAAUUUGGAAUUCAUAUUUUAGUACACAAAUUGAAGUAUUGAAUAAAAACUUUAAAUAAAAUCAACAACAACAACUAAAGAAAUUAAACUACCAUUGGCCAAUAUCUCAUCUAUUAGGUCAACAUCAGACAAACAAGCAUCAUUUACUGGGAUUAGGCAAAAGAACGUUGUAGUGCCAACUAUAAUCAUAAAUCAGAGUCAAAUCAUUCUGAUUGUAUAGAAAAUUUUCCUACCAAAGUAACCAAGCCAGAUGCCUUUUUCUUCCACGAUAAGCUGACCAGACAAGAAAGCAGAUCCGUAAUCAUUUUCAAACUCAGAAAUCACACAAAAAUUCUUCCUUCUGUGUCCUAGUACAGUUAAGGCCUGGGAUUCCUGAGCAUACUUUCAGAGACAACCAUUUUGGAACAACUAUGUAGUCUCUUUUUUGGGUGGAGAAUCAAGCCAUUUAAAGAAUCACCCCAACAAAUCAGCAUUUUCCCCACUGAGAAGUUGUUCGGUGAUACUGUUAAUUUAACAAUUAGAAUUCCAAGUUCUUUCCUGAGAAUCAAUAAUUAGCAUGGUCAAAACUCCAUUAUCUAGUAUUUGUCCUAUUACAUGACAAGAAGUCCACCUAAAUGAGCAUAAGGAUCUAGGCAUUGAGCUCAGGAUCUAGGCAUUGAGCAUUCUCCACCCUCAUCGAAGUUCAUAAUAAUCAAGAAGUUACCAUCACCAUUAUUGCAUGAUGAUAUAGUGUCUAUGGAAAUUUUUGCAUUGUAGAAGUAACAAAGAAACGUUAAAGAAAAUCACAAACUCUCUCUUUCAACGACUAUUAAUCAUCAUUUGUCACAAGAUAGCAAGUAGCACAUUAAAGCAUGCCUCAAGCGUCAUUAACAUGUUAAUAUUCAGAAAGUUUUAAUAUGUUGAUUAUAUGUUCAACACAUGCAGUGUAAAGAUCCAUAUCCUACAAUGAACCAGAAUUUAAACGUACCAUUUAUAAAAGUUGCCACGUUUCACACAUCGGCAUCUAUGAAGCCUAGUUGCCAUGCUUCACACACUGCCAUCCUGCUUUUAGCACACGAUUCUACAUUACCACAAUUUCUUAUUACCUAGACUUCUCAAUGGCACUUCCUAAAGAUAGUCAAAAUAUUUAAGAUCGAACUUCGCUCAUAUUUCCCCGUAAUCUGAAUUUGUAUCAUGCUUCCCAAUAACCUAAAAGCAACCCAAAAAACGUUUCAAAAAAAUCAUAACUUUAUCCACAGUGUCCUGCUUUUCACGAAAUUAUGCAUCACCAGUAUUCCCUAAAUUUUUUUCCAAGAGCCCAGUGAAAAAGCUUAACAUUGAAGAUACCUCAUACUUUCCUAUAAUCUAAGAACAACAGAAAAUAAUAAUACAACAAAAAACAAAACAAAAAAAUGAAAAAAUGAAAAAAAAAGGAUCAAAACUGUAUGUUUCUUGUGCUCCUCCUCUAAUUUCAAACCAAAGCCACAAUUGCAAAUGAUCAAGAUAUGCCUAUUUCACAGAAGGAUGCAGCAAAAAGCUGCUGUCUCUCCUGAGCAGUACUCCUUCCGCAUGCAUAACCAAUCAAUGAUUAAUGCAACACAAACCCACGUAAAAAUCUCCUGUUAAGGCUAAAAUCAAGUGUCCCUUUUCCUUUUGCCAUUAGAAUGACAAUUUUACGCUAAAGAAACAAGAAUUGAACCCUGAACCAUGAAAAUUUUUUUCAAGACAAAUUUUGGUUUCUUUAAGCAAAUCGAAACAAGCCCAGAUAAAGAAAACUGAAAGUAAGUAAUUACCUGUUCUCAAGACUGAUAAAUCGGAGGGUUCACUCCAACCAGAGCUCAUGAAUUGGGAAAAAUUGCAGCAUUAGGAACCCACUCUCGUGGAGCCAUGCCCAUCAUCUAAUUGCACUCAAAUCGUGGACUCGGGUCACCCAAUUGUGGGCUUUUCUAACUCAAAACACCUAUGGCCUUUCAAGGGAUAAUUAAACAGAGGGCAGGAACAGCCCAAUAGGUGUUGGGUUGACGAACCCUGGAGUGUAUUAAGAGUGGAAAGUAAAGAAAUAGGUGUCAUAAAAUUUUGCAGUUUUUAUUAUUAUCUUCUAGAGCCCUAUAAUUUUUAAAAAAAAAAAAAAAUUUCCAACAGGGGAGGAUGGGACCUAAGAAGCCGUGUAAGAGUAAGGGGAUUUGAAUUCAGAACUUCUAAUUAUAAGAUGGAAGUGGAAUAUUUUUUAAUUUGGGUUAAUACAUAAUAAUAAUCCAAUUUUUUGGAUAGUUAAUUUGUUCUUCUUUUUUUUUUUAGUUAAGUUUUUCUUACAUUACACAUUCUAUUGGAAGGUACUUGUAAACUUUUACUUUUACAAAAAUGUUUUCCUCCUAUUGCCAUUCCUGUUUGUGGACUAAAAAGUCAAAACCAAACGAAUUGAUAUUGGAAAAACACUCUAGUAAGAGGAUCAUGAGAACAUAUGGAAGAUACUCAUUCCGUCUCAUUUUGAUAGUCUUAUUUUCCUUUUUCAUCUGUCCUAAAUUAUAGUCCAUUUUCUAAUUGAAGAAUGUAGUUAUCUUUUAAUUUCUCUAAAAUACCCUUAGUCAAUGUAGGUUGUUAUUAGUAUAAACUACCUUAUUUAACAUAGAUUGUUAACCUACCCCAUAUAAUACAUUUAGAUUUAAUGUGAAAUAAUAUAAAAUGAGGAUUCAUUCUUUCUUGACCAUCAAUUCAAGUUUUCAUGAAUAAUUAAUAUAAAGUUGUACUUUAUUUAAUGUAAGGGUAUUUUAGGAAAAUAGCAACCUAAUUUUGUUUUUCCAACAAAGUUAACUGCUUUUUCUUAAAUUGUGUGAAAGAAAAACUAGAACUAUCAAAAUGGGACAGAGGAAGUAAUAUUUUUAAACUAAGGCUCAUAAAAACUAUGGCUCCGUUUGGAUUACCUGUUUUUGGGGUUGUUUUUCAAAAACAGCACUGUAGUAUUUCGUUUUUGAAAUACAAGUCCGUUUGGAUUAGUUGUUUUUGAGAUUGUUUUUCAAAAACUAUAUGAAAAACUUUUACUGUAGAUGUUUUUUGGAUUAUUUUUAGAGAUAUUUUUAAAACAUAUUUUGGGUAUUUUUAUAAUUUAUAAUUUUUAUAAUUUUAUUUUUAUAUACAUUUAUGCAUUUAUAAUACAUUUAUAAAUAUUUAUAAAUAAAUAUAUUUAUAUAUUCGCUAAAAAAUAUAUAAAUGUAUUAUAUUAUAUAUAAUACAUAAUAUAAAUAUAUUUAUAAAUGUAUAAGUGUAUAUUAUUAUAAAUGUAUAAAUUAUAAAUGAAUAUUAUAUAAAUGUAUAAAUUAUAAGUUAUAAUUUUUAUAUUUUUAUAUAAAUAUACAUUUAUGCAUUUAUAAAUAAAUAUAUUUAUAUAUUUAUAUAAAAAUAUAUUAUAAAUUUAUUGUAUUAUAUAUAAUACAUAAUAUAAAUAUAUUUAUAAAUGUAUAAGUGUAUAUUAUUGUAAAUUUAUAAAUUAUAAAUGAAUAUUAUAUAAAUGUAUAAAUUAUAAUGUAUAAAUUAUAAUUUUUAUAUUUUUAUAUAAAUAUGCAUUUAUGCAUUUAUAAUACUUAUAAAUAAAUAUAUUUAUUUAUUUAUAUAAAAAUAUAUAAAUGUAUUAUAUUACAUAUAAUACAUAAUAUAAAUAUAUUUAUAAAUGUAUAAGUGUAUAUUAUUGUAAAUUUAUAAAUUAUAAAUGAAUAGUACAUAAAUGUAUAAAUGUAUAAAUUAUAAAUUAUAAAUUAUAUAUUUUUAUAUAAAUAUACAUUUAUAAAUAUUUAUAAAUAAAUAUAUUUAUUAUUUAUAUAAAAAUAUAUAAAUGUAUUAUAUUACAUAUAAUACAUAUUAUAAAUAUAUUUAUAAAUGUAAAAGUGUAUAUUAUUAUAAAUGUAUAAAUUACAAAUGAAUAUUAUAUAAAUGUAUAAAUUAUAAUUUUAUUAAUAUAUAUUAAUAUUAUGUAUAAAUGUAUUAAUAUAAUUAAUAUAAAUGUACAAAUGUAUUAAUAUUAUGUAUAAAUGUAAAAUUAAUAUUAUGUAUAUUAAUAUAAAUAUAUUAUAAAUGUAUUAUAUUAUGUAUAAUACAUAAUAUAAAUGUAUAUUAUAAAUAUACAUUAAUAUAUAUUUUUUGUAUAAAUGUACAUUUAUAUAAAUGUAAUAUAUAUAUUAUAUUAUAUAUAAUUUAUAUAAUAUAUAAUAUUCAUAUAAAUAUAUUAUAAGUAUGUAAAAAUAUUUUUUAAGUAAAAUAAAAUAUUUAUAAUAUGUAAAAAUAAAUAUAUAAAUAUUUAAUAUAUAUAAUAUACAUUAAUAUUAAUUAUAAAUAUUAUAAUAUUAUAAAUAUGGUGUUUAUAUAAUAUUUCAAUUUGUAAUAUUUAUUGUAUAUUUCAUUAUAUAAAUAUUCAUAUAAUAUAUAAUAUAUAAUUUUCAAUUUGUAUAAUAUACAUAAUAUUGUAUAUAUAUAAUAUAUUAUAUUAUACAUUAUUACAUUAUUACAUAUUAUGUAUAUUAUAUAUUAUACCAACAUUAUUAGACAUUAUUAUACACAAUAAUGUACAAAAUAAUAUUAUACAUUAAUAAUGUAUAUAUUAUAAUAUAAUGUACAUAAUAUAUUAUGUAUAAAUAUUUACACAUUUAUGUAUACAAUAUUACAUAUUAUGUAUAUUAUAUUAUGUAUAUUAUAAUAUAUUAUGUAUAAUAUUAAUGUAUAUAAAUAUUUAUAUAAUAUAUAAUAUAUAUAAUUUUCACUUUGUAUAUUUCAAUUUAUAUUAAUAUAAUAUAUAUAUAUAUAUAUAAUAUACAUAAUUGAAAUAUACAUAUGUAGUUGUUUUUGAUAUAAUGUUUGGAUAUGGUGUUUUUGGAGUUGUUUUAGAAAUACACAUUUACUGUAGCAUUUGGGAUGUGAAAAACAGUUUUUCAAAAACAGCUCCAAAAACAAGGAUCCAAACAAAUUAAAGUAGAGGGUUAAAGAUAGGCUUAAAGCUCUCACACCUAAGUGACAUGUUAAAUGGCAUUUCAUGGAUUCACUUAGUUCAUGGGAAGGAGGAGUUAAUUCAUGAUGCAUCCAAGUGUACCAUCUCUAAAAUAAUAAUAAUAAUAAUCUAACGGAGACAUUUGAAACUACAAGCUGUUCAGCAAUUAGACAUCCAUUUUCCAAUCCCACUUACUUAGUGCGAAGAAUUAGGGCCGGCAAGGAGUGGACGCCUGUCGAAAUAAGCAAAAUCGCUGGUGUUUCAACUGAUUAUAUUAGCCACACAAAAUGCUGCAAUGCCAUUCUUGAGUAACAAGUCAGCUCCUCCAUUCGAAAAAUCACCAAAUGUUUCCUUUGUGCUUCACUGCUUAGUUUACACGUACUAAGGUUUCAUCAUUCAUUGUAAAAUGCACCAACUUUGUAGUUAGCUCACCAACAGCUAUAAAUAGCUGAAAUUGCAUGCAAUUAGACAUGUAGAAACUAAACCUUAUUCUACUCGGAGGAUUCUACCAGCACCUUGUAAGUUACAACCGCAUCACCCUUGACCGACUUUGUCUAUCAUUUUCUAGCCACCAGACAUAAAAUUAGACGAUCUUGAUUAGCUAUAGACUUUGGUUGUGAGAAAUGGCACCAAUCAAGUCCUUAGCAUUAGUUGCAUUUCUUCUUGCAUGUUCUGCUCUUAUAUCUGAGUGCAGGGUGGCGAGGAAAGACUUGGGAGUGGAUCUUGGUGGUGGUAUAGGAGUUGGAGUCGGAGCAGGAAUAGGGUUGGGCAUAGGAGGAGGUAGUGGUGCGGGUUCCGGGGCUGGUUCAGGAUCUGGUUCUGGUUCAGGUUCCCAUUCUAGCUCGAGCUCAUCAUCAAGUUCAUCAGCUUCUUCUUCAGGGUCGGGGUCUGGAUCAAGUGCAGGAUCAGAGGCGGGUUCAUAUGCAGGAUCUAGAGCUGGGUCCGGGUCUGGAUCAAGUGCAGGCUCCGAGGCUGGUUCAUACGCAGGAUCUAGAGCUGGAUCUGCAUCGGGGCAAGGACGUGGUCGUGGUUCAGGAUCUGGUGCUGGGCAUAAUUAAAGACUCUAGCCUUGUUCAAGAUUAUUGAAGUGGAAGUGGCAGAGAGUAAAGAUUCUCAUGCAAAGCCUACUAGUAACAGUAAAAUUUGCAGCAAAUAAUUAUCGUCUUGCAUCUAAAUAAAUUAUGAGUAGCACAACCGCUUAUCUACCACCUAUUGUAAAAGUAGAUGUGUGUGUCUUGAACUCUUACUUCAGUUGUAAUCAUUAGUUAUGGAUUGUUUAACAGCUGCUUUUUUUUUUUCCUCCAAGUUUAUGUUACCUCAUCUCGUACAACGUGAGUUUCUGUUGGUUUAUUGUUCAAUGAGGUUCUAAUAUACACCUGUUUAAUUAGGCGUAAUACCAGUUGAUCAGAUCUCAAAAUAAUCAUCAAAUAAAAAAAUGAUGAAAUUAAACUAUAUGAGAAAUAAAGCAUGGAAGAAAAGAGGUGGAAGCUAGUUAUAAUUUGUUCAAUUUUUCCCUAACUUCGUACUGCUAUUUACAGGACAGUCGUGAAAACGAGACUUCGGAAGACAAAAACAAGAUACUUGGCCAAUCUGGGAAAAUGUAUCACUUAGGUACCAGGGACAAGGGGAGGAUACAGGAGAAUCCCAAUAAGAAACAGAACAAAUUCGGCUCCUGAAUUUAUGUUGUUGUCUUUUCAGUACCAGGAGACCUUAAAGAUAAAUCAUAAAUGUGCUUAAACCUAGUGCUCUUGGCAUAUUCUCCCAUCGUGAUCUUUAUAAUGAUGGAGAUCACUAUUUUUUUUUGGUGAAAAUAGGGAUUAAAUAUUAAUAAACAACAGAGUUUUGCCCUAUCUAUUACAAAGCAAAGGAGAUAGUGCGGGGAAAACAGAUCCCUUUCAAGUCCUCAUCAUAGACAAAAGCGAGUUCUUGAGGACAAUUAGCAAAAGUUACAAAGUUGGAUUGUAAUCUGCCUCCCAUUCUUGCGAGUGCGUCCGCGCAUCUAUUUGCCUCCCGGUAAAUGUGGGAUAUUUUAACAUGCCGCAGCUGCGAAAGGAGGGAUCUGCAAUCCGAAAUGAUAGAGUUCAAAAGGUGAUUAGGAUUGGCAACAGCUGUUAACAAAGUAAUAAUAGCUUCGCAGUCAACUUCAACUUCAAGUUGAGAAAUUUUUAAGGAAAGGGCUAUUUCUAGUCCAUCUCGGAUACCCCAACAUUCCGCCAGCAUGCUGUUUGUAGAACCUAAGUUUCUGCAGUAUCCUUUAAUCCAACAUCCGGAGGCGUCUCUGAUAACACCUCCAGCUCCCGCUGGACCUGGGUUUCCUAAGGCUGAGCCGUCUGAAUUGAGCUUGAACCAAUGGAGGAUUGGAGGAAUCCAUCUGAUAAGAAUAUGGGAUUUUCUGCGAGGGGGGUGGCCAGAAUUUGGGCCAAGGGAGUAGAACUCAGUGGCCAACUUGAUGCUGGUUUUGGUUGGAGGAGGUUGUGUUCUGUUGGGCUCGAAAAUCUUUUUAUUCCUGGAUUUCCAAAUGGUGGAGCAAGUAAAGGCAAAGAGUGUGCCCCAAGGAAUAUUGUAGAAAGGGGAGGGUGUGGAAAGUUUACAACCUUCCCUAAUCCAGAUGUGAAAAGGAAUGUGUAGAGUGGAUAGAUAGUAGUUGGGAUUGAGCUCCAUCCAAACAGCUUGGGCGUGGACACAUUUGCGCAAGACAUGAUUAGUAUCCUCUAUCAGUCCUGGGCAGAAAGGGCAGAUAUUAUCAGGGAGGAUGUUUCUCUUAUGAAGGAGGUAUCUUGUUGCUAGUUUGUCUUGAGAAGCUAACCAGAGGAAUAAUUUGGUUCGAUGGGAUGUGUGAGUAGUCCAAAUCCAAGUGAAAGACUGGCUUGGAGGAUGGGGUGUUUGGACAUUGGGUUUGGCCUGAAUAUAUAGCAAACUAGUGAUCUCAUAUGCAGAUUUUAGACUGAACUCACCAUCAGGAGAAUUCCUCCAUAUAAGGUUGUCUGCUUGUUUAGAAUGGUGAGGUCUAGGAAUAGCUUUUAGCAGGUCGGUAAUGGAAGGGGGUAGAUGGAAGGAAAUAUUAUUGAAAUUCCAAUUACCAUUGCUGUCAAAAAGAUCUGAUAGGAGUAGUUGAUCUUCCUCUGGUAGGAGUGGUCCUUCAAUUAAGGAUCUGAGGGUGCUUGCUGAGAACCAUUUUCCAGACCACACUUUAAUUGUUUUACCAUCUCCUAUGUUCCAACCCAACCCUUGGUUGAAGAUGUUGUUACCGUGUAUGAUAUUCCUGAGAUUUAUGGAACCUCUAGAUUUGCAGAAGCUAAGAGGGGAUUCUUUCAAAGGUUGGUUUCUAUGUAAGUAGAGAUCUGAAAGAAUUUGAACCCAAGGACGAUGUGUGUUUUUCAUCAUCUGCCAAUUGAGUUUGGCCAAGUUAGCUUUGUUCAAAAGGGCUGAUUGUCUCAAUCCCAAACCACCCUCCUUUUUGGGGAGGGUAACAGUUUCCCACUUAAUCAAGUGGAGUUUUUUCUUCCCCUCUGUGGAGCCCCAGAGGAAAUUUUUCUGUUCUCUAUCGAUGGCAUCACAGAUUUUUUUUGGGAUAUGUGCUGCUUGGAAGAAAUAGGUAGGGAUGGAAGAUAUGCAUUGUUGGAUAAUUGUCUUUCUCCCAGCAAAGGACAACAGGUUUGCUUUCCAGCCUUGGAGUUUGGAUUGAAUUUUUUCCAAAAGGAAGUGGAAGGUUUUGGCUGAUGCUUUCUUCACACUAAGUGGAAAGCCAAGGUAUUUUCCUAGGUCUCGGGUACCCUGAAUGUUUAGAGUCCUGGUGAUAGAGUUUUUAGUGAAUUCAAGGGUGUUUGGGGAAAAUAGAAUCCUUGACUUGGAGUGGUUGAUACGGAGGCCAGAGAGGUCCCCAAAAAUGUUCAGAAUAUUUUGGAUAGUGGUUAUAGAGGUAUCAUCUGUCCUUGAGAAGAGGAUGAUGUCAUCUGCAAACAGACAAUGUGACAGACAAUGUCUAGAUCUCCCAAACUUGAGAGGGGUCCAGUUGUUACCAUCCACUUCUUUGGUGAUAGCCAUUGACAGGUACUCCAUGCAAAUAAUGAAGAUGUAUGGGGAUAAAGGGUCUCCUUGUCGAAUGCCUCUAGAAGGGGAAAAAAAGUUUGUUGGGGAUCCAUUUAUGAGUAUGGCCAAAUUGGUAGAUGUAAUGCAAUGAAGAAUGAGGUUGAUGAGGGAUGGGGGAAAAUCAAAGAAAGUGGGGGCUUGAUGAAUAAAAGACCAUUCAAGACUAUCAUACGCCUUAUGAAGAUCAAGCUUGAUGGCACACAACCCAUAUUUGCCCUUUUUAUUUUUAAGCCUGUGAAUGGCUUCUUGGACAAGCAUGAUGUUAUCUGUUCCACUUCUACCCGAGAUGAAGCUGGAUUGGAGAGGGGAGAUGAUGGUUGAAAGGAUUGGUCUAAGUUUAUUAACAAUGGUCUUGGCUAGUAUUUUAUAAGUGGUAUUGCAGAGUCCUAUGGGUCUAAACUGCUGAAUGAUAUCCGGGUUGUCAAGUUUGGGAAUCAAGCAAAUUAAAGUAUCGUUAAUCCCGACUGGAAGGGGCUUUUGAUUGUAAGCAUCAUGUAUGAAUUGGGUGAUUGAAGGAGCAAGGAAAUUCCAAAAUUUCUGGUAGAAAAUAGGGUGAUAGCCAUCCGGCCCAGGACAUUUGAGAGGUUUCAAAUCAAAAACAGCCUUUUUAAUUUCUAGGAUGGUUGGGAGGGUGACUAGGGAUAUUUUGGUUUCUUCCUCCAGAUAAGAUUUCUGAAAAGGGAAAUUCUGUGGGUAAAAGGAUGACUGAGAGUGGUGAGAAGUAAAUAGGGAAGAGAAGAAAUCAAGGAUAUGGUUUUUAACAACAUCACUAUUGGUCAGCCAUUUACCUUCAUUAUCUCUCAAGGAAACAAUUUUAUUCCGUUUCCUUCUACAGAGGGUAGAAGUUUGUAGAAAUUUGGUAUUGAGGUCAUCUGAUAUAGCAUAGUCCAAUCUAGAUUUCAUAAUCCAGAGGGAUUUUUCCUGAUGAAGGAUUUCCUCAUACUCAAAAAGCAACUGUUUUUCUAAAGACUCUAGGAAUAUAGAAUGGUGAGAUUGCAUCGCUUUUUGAGCACCUUGGAGUCUGGCUAGGAUCCUCUUUUUCUUAAAGAAAAUAUUCCCAAAGGUCUUUUUACUCCAGGAAAGGAUGUUAGAAGUGAGGUUUUCGAUAGAAUUGGAGAUAACAGAGGGGGGCCCAGACCAAGAUUGAUGAAGGAGUUGUGGGAAUUCUGGGUGAGACAUCCAAAAUUUCUCCAGUCUAAAAGGUCUGUUUAAGGAAUUACUAAUAGCCGGUUGGAGGUCGAGAAGAAUUGGACAAUGAUCUGAAUGAAUUCUUGCAAGGUGGUGUAUUUGUGCCUCAGGAAAAAGGUUAAUCCAUUCAGGGUUACAAAAGGCGCGAUCCAGCCGUUCGUAAAUAUGGCCUAGAUCCCUUCUAAAACACCGCCAGGUGUAACGAGGCCCAUUGAACCCUAAGUCUAACAUGUUGUGUGUGUGUGUGUAGAUGUAGACACACACACACCAGGCUUAAUAGGAUUCUGGCAGCAUCACAGAUUUCUCCACUAAAGAGGGAUCCCUCCACGAUCACGGUGGUCAUGGCGCCGCCGCCAAGGAAUCACUGGAAAAUCCGAUACAUCCAUGAAACCCCAUCCAUCCAUCCACGAUCCUCACAGUAGAUUUCACCCACCGGAGUAGCAAGCGAUGACAACGGCCAAACACCCAGUAGAGCCUCCAAUACCAGACCCUGCCAUUUCUCCCCAAACUGAUAUUCAUGUAAGUUCAACAACCACACCUGUAAACCAUAGUAUCUCCCAGACACAACUUCAACUUCCCUCACACUCUGUUUCGCCUGAAAUUCAUAAUUCCACUUCCAUCCUCCAUGCCCCAAAGUCCCCAAAACGCUCCUACAAGGACUGCCUCAUAUCUGAUAAAACCUCUUCAAUCAUUCAACUAGACCUCACCCAAACUGAACUAGCGUCCCCUAUAAACUUUUCUGAAACCCAUACCCAAACCGGGUCCCUUACCAUAGAUUUCCCCCC
RNAcentral lists this long non-coding RNA (58258 nucleotides) under Coffea arabica (coffee). RNAcentral's name for it is "long non-coding RNA (CARA_LNC004526)". Lineage: Eukaryota; Viridiplantae; Streptophyta; Magnoliopsida; Gentianales; Rubiaceae. The record is from RNAcentral.